ACAUAAGCUCGAAGUAAAACAACUACCUGUAGUAGGGUGCCUCUAGCUCUGUCAGUCGGGUAGGGCUCUAACUCGCGACGCCCUUGCCUCGAUCCUGAUCCGCGGAAGGCGCAGCAGCUAAAACCUGUGGCUCUGCAAAACAGGGGUAACAACUGGGCGUGAGAACUACUAUAAAAACAAGUAGUCCUCAGUGGGUGCCGCCCAAAACAACAUCAGUCCACCCACUAAGUCUACAGAAGGGAGCAAGAAUAGUAGUAAAUGCAGGAAUAAAGUCUACCGCUAUCAAACACUACAUUAUCAUGCUCUACACUAACCAACUGUAAAAAAAUGUCCAAUCUGACCCAAUCCAAUCGGGACUGUAAGCAUACCCGUCCCCGGGACUGUGAAUACACCCGUCCCUGCCCCGUUGCGACUAUCGGGCUCUAUCCACACUAACUGGUCCGUAGAGAGCAAGUCCAACUGGCAUGAGCGACACCAACGCGAAAGCACAAAGCCUGACUCCGGAGUGGCACUCGUGGGCGCUACCCAACCGAGUAUGCAGCGUAUCUCUGUCGAGCUCAAACAGGCUCUGAAAAGCCAAAGUCAAGUAACCGACUCAAACUGGUCUAACCACCAACAGGUAAUGUGCCCUCGGCACAAUCUGACGCCAAAAAGGCGAUACGGGUCCACCGUCAACUCUGACGGCACCCACCAGUCGGGAACAACCUGAACGAUCCUGUAAAAAUCCACUCGGCGCACCAGCACGAGCGUAAAUGUAAUCUAAACUACCUGGAGUACUCGUCUCGAAAAUACUGCGACAGUACAAUUUAAUAACGGCUCCUAGAGCUAAAUCAGGCAGUUUAAACGAGUGACAGGUCCAAAUCGCAGGUUUUCUCCUAAUUCAAUUUCCAAGUCCAACAUGUAUAACCUACUUAAUUUAUUACCACAUGCUCCAAAUUCAGAUUUGCAAUCUACGAUAUAAUCCAUGAAUUCGAGCUAGAAUAGAGUAUCCAAAGGUCGAAAAUUAUACAUGCCGACGAAUAUGAACUUAGGAGUAAAAACCGAUGUAACCCACCUCUCAAGCAACUCCUGGCAGCGAAGAAAACGUUAAAUCCGACCAAGCUAACCUUAUCCAAAUUCAGCAAACAAGGGUCCUGAAGCUUUGUCUUGAAGUCACGAAUCCAAUGGCCCAGGUUUCGCUGAAUUCUGACGCUCCUACGCAGAGAACGGGCCAGAAUACGAAACGUCGACGCUGGAACCUGCGAAACAGCAUCUCUGAAAUCUGCUCGGCAAACAACAGCCUAGUAAAACUAGGGUUUGACAGGGCAAACCUGCUCCAAAAAUCGCGAUCUUGGGCUCAGAAUCUUCGUCUCGAAGUCGCGAAUCUAACACGUCAAAUUUCGUCGCGUUUCGACACUCCUACACAGAGAACUAGGUAAAACACGGCGGGUCGAUGCUGGAAUCAGCAAUCAGCACUUCAGAGUCUGCUCGGCAAACAGCAACUCAGUAAAAAGAGAUUUCAACAGAGAAAACCUUCUCCAAAUUGGGCGAGUAAGGAUCCUAUGAAUUCGUCUCGAAGUCCCGGUUCCAACGAACCAAAUCUCGUCGAAAUCCGAUGCUCCUACGUCGCGUACGAGCUGAAAUACUAACAGUCGACGACAAGAUCCUGCGAAUCAGCACUUAAGCUCGAAUUGAAUGAAGCUUGAAGUAGAGAAGAAAUCCAUAGAGGAAUGAGAGAUUACCCACCUCAACCAGCGACUCCAAUUCCGGCACGGCGUCGAGAACGACGAAAACACUCCCUCGCCCGGCCUCCUCGCUAAACUACGGCGACGCACGUAUGCUCGGACGGCUCGGCGACGCGACGUCGGCGACGAACGCUCCACCCAAGCUCCUCCUCCUUGCGUAUGGCUCCAGAGACAGAUAGGGAGGAAAUUUAAUUAAAGAGGUGUUGGUUGCAACCCUCAAUUAAAAUGGAUAAGCAUGCAUGCAUGGGAGGGGGGUACGUGGCAGCAUCCAUAUAUAUAUAUAUAUAUAUAUAUAUAUAUAUAUGAGGAUACUACAUUCUGAGAGCCCAAUUCCCAUGUUCUUUACAACUCAAUAUCUUGCAAAGCACAGUAACAACUGGUUUAUUCUAAUUCUCAGUUAUUUUCAUCUUAGUUUUAUUAAGUCAGUUUCAUUCUGUGGAAUUAAACACAAAUAUUUAGAUCUGACCGUUAGCGGAAGCUUGUCGGGUCUUUGUCGCACACGAUCGAUCCGGAAUUAACGGAGGUUGGAUUACGGACCCGUCAUAAUCGGAGGUCUUGCUAUGAUCAGCUUUGCGGUAGACCUAACUACGAACGAGUUUACGUCUUGAUUCCAUUGUUCAAGAUUCCUUGGAACCCUUGAUGUGAAUGGAGAAUGCGGAUGUAAAUUUUCGUCCACAACCCCUUUGAUGGGAUUUAAUCUUAUACCAACUCUUUAUGUAUCAGGCUCUUAAUGCCAACCGUUGAUGUGAAUGGAAAAGCUGAUUUUCUUUGGAACUAAAAGGACAAAAAAUUUUAAAAAUUUUUUUAUGAAAAAACUAUUUUUUCGAAACUAUUUUUUCACGCUUUUUCGAAAAACCGAAUAACCCCUUAUAAAUAUUAUCUGAAGCUGUUAGGGAGAUAAGUGCCUCAUCUUUCAAUUUUUUAGCAGGACGAAUAUCUGAUCAAGUUUUAGGAUCAAAUCAGGUGAUGCGCACAUUUGAUCCGACCCAUCCAACCAAAUUCUAACUCGUCCAAUCCUGGCUUGACUUGGACUGAAUUUAUCAAAUCUAUUUAGCCUAAUUUCCGUACUACCACAUUAAAUUUGUACCACGUGCUGAGAGUGGAUAGCACAUGUAAAGGGAGCAUAUUGGCUUCCUUUUUGUUCGAAAAUUAUUAGGAACUAAUUAUAUCGGAGAUAGAUAAGUACGAAUAUGAGUUUUUGUAAGAAUAAAAAUAUUUUUUUAUUUAGAUAAAAAUAUGAGAAUAAGAUGGAAUUAGAAAAAUUAUGUUUGGAUGGUUAUUGGGAAUAAGAGGAUUAAUUGUUAGUUAUAAAUAAAAAAUAAUGAUAUUACCCAUAUAAUUGAAUUUAAAUUUUUAAAUUUUAAAUUUAUAAUUUUAAAAUAAAAAUUAAANCCUCUGUCUGUGGGUGAAAAGCAGUGCUGAAAUGUAACUGAGUCCCCAAAGUUGUCUGUAAACUCCUCCAGAAAUGCGACACAAACCUCGGGUUUCGGUCUGAUACAAUCGAUACUGACACGCCGUGCAGCCUGAUGAUCUCAUCAAGGUAUAGCUGCGCGAGUCUCUCUCUGGACCAGAUGGUCUGAACCCGUAAGAAGUGAGCAGACUUGGUCAGUUUGUCCACUAUCACCCAAAUCGCAUCAAAGCCACCCUGCGCUCUAGGCAAUACCACGACAAAGUCCAUCGUAAUCUACUCCCACUUCCACUCGGGCACUGGCAGACUCUGAAGCUUGCCAGCAGGUACCUGAUGCUCGUCCUUCACCUGUUAACAAGUCAAACACUGAGCCACAUAUCUGCCAAUGUCUCUCUUCAUUCCAUUCCACUAAAACUGUGCCUUUAAGUCCUUAUACAUCUUGGUUCCACCUGGGUGUACUGUAUAAGGUGAACAAUGAGCCUCUCUCAAGAUGUCAUCUCGGAUCCCUGAAUCCACCGGCAUACACAGUCGGUUCCUGUACCGCAGUACUCCCGAACUGUCCAAAGAAAACCCUCAGUCUGCCCCUCCGUCUGGCUGCUCUCUAAUCCUGAACAAGUACGGAUCUCCACUCUGUUUCUCUCGGAUCCUAUCCAACAGAGUGGGCUGUAAAACUAGAGACGUCAGCCUCGCCGUAGACCCAGGGGUACUAUCUCGAGUCCCAGCCGCUGUAGCUCCUCGAGUUGGGGUCUCUGCUUAGUGAUCCUCAAACUCAGGCUCUGCACUGCCUUCCUGCUCAACGCAUCUGCCACCACAUUCGCCCUGCCGGGAUGAUACUGAAUACUAAUGUCAUAGUCCUUCAGUAACUCCAACCACCGGCGCUGCCUCAGGUUCAGCUCCCUCUGUGUGAACAGAUACUUGAGACUUUUAUGAUCGGUGAAGACCUCGCAGUGCUCGCCGUACAAGUAAUGCCGCCAGAACUUCAAAGCAAAGACUACCGCUGCAAGCUCCAAAUCAUGCGCAGGGUAAUUCUUCUCAUAAUCCUUUAACUGCCAUGAAGCAUAAGCAAUCACCCUACCAUGCUGCAUCAGCACGCAACCAAGUCCACUGUGCGAUGCAUCACUGUAGAUCACGAAUCCCUAGACUGAUUUUUCGGACUCGUACGCGGCAUUAUGAGUUCACGGAUGCUUUUGGAUUGACGAAUGCCCUGCCGAUUCAUGGUUUUGGAUGAAUAGAGUGUUCAAGCCAUCUUGAUAGGUUUGUGGUAGUCUUCAUCAUGAUAUCCUAAUAUACAUCCCGGGAAUGAUCUGAGCAGAGGAGCACUUCGAGGAUUGUGCUAACAGCUUCUGCGAGCGAGAAAGAAGUUUGUAUACUAAGUUAAAAGAAGUGGCGAGUUCUGGCUACGGGAAGUUGCUUUCUAGCCACGUGAUUUUCAGCUGAGGGCGUUUAGCCAGUGCCAAGAAGAUUGAGGCGAUUCGAGAUUGGCCUAGACCAACGACGGUGACGGAGGUACGGAGCUUCCUGGGACUGGCAGGAUAUUACGUCAGUUUGUGGAAGGCUUUGCGAAGCUUUCCACACCACCCCUCACACGCUUGACGGCGGAAGGGGAUUCGUUUUGUCUUGAGCGACGACUGUCAGAGGAGCUUUGACGAGUUGAGGUUGAGGUUGACGUCGGCUCCUAUCCUUGCCCUUCCGGUGAUGGGGGAUGGAUUCGUGAUCUACAGUGAUGCAUCGCACAGUGGAACUUGUUGCGUUGCUGAUGGCAGCAUGGUAGGGUGAUUGCUUAUGCUUCAUGCAGUUAAAGGAUUAUGAGAAGAAUUACCCUGCUACUGAUUUGGAGCUUGCAGCGGUACUCUUUGCUUUGAAGUCUGGCGGCAUUACUUGUACGGCGAGCACUGCGAGGUCUUCACCGAUCAUAAAAAGUCUCAAGUAUCUGUUCACACAGAGGAGCUGAACCUGAGGAGCGCCGGUGGUUGAGUUACUGAACGACUAUGACAUUAGUAUUCAGUAUCAUCCCGGCAGGGCGAUAUGUGGUGGCAGAUGCGUUGAGCAGGAAGGCAGGUGCAGAGCCUGAGUUUGAGGAUCACUAAGCAGAGACCCAACCAACCGAGGAGCUACAGCGCUGGGACUCGAGAUAGUACCCCUGGGUCUACGGCGAGGCUGACGUCUCAGUUUUACAGCCCACUCUGUUGGAUAGGAUCGAUAGAAACAGAGUGGAGAUCGUACUUGUUCAGGAUUAGAGAGCAGCCAGACGGAGGGGCAGACUGAGGGUUUUCUUUGGACAGUUCGGGAGUACUGCGGUACAGGAACGACGUGUAUGGCCGGUGGAUUCAGGGAUUCCGAGAUGACAUCUUGAGAGAGGCUCAUUGUUCACCUUAUACAGUAACACCCAGGUGGAACCAAGAUGUAUAAGGAACUUAAAGGCACAGUUUUAGUGGAAUGGAAGAAGAGAGAGCAUUGGCAAUAUGAUGCUCAGUGUUUGACUUGUUAACGAGGUGAAGGACGAGCAUCAGGUACCUGCUGGCAAGCUUCAGAGUCUGCCAGUGCCCGAGUGGAAGUGGGAGUAGAUUACGAUGGACUUUUUGUCGGUAUUGGCCUAGAGCGCAGGGUGGCUUUGAUGCGAUUUGGGUGAUAGUGGACAAACUGACCAAGUCUGCUCACUCUUACGGGUUCAGACCAUCUGGUCCAGAGAGAGACUCGCGCAGCUAUACCUUGAUGAGAUCAUCAGGCUGCACGGCGUGUCAGUAUCGAUUGUAUCAGACCGAAACCCGAGGUUUGUGUCGCAUUUCUGGAGGAGUUACAGACAACUUUGGGGACUCAGUUACAUUUCAGCACUGCGCUUUUCACCCACAGACAGAGGGUCAGUCAAGAGCGGACCAUACAGACUCUAGAGGACAUGCUGGAGGGCAUGCGUCCUAGAUUUCUUGGAGGAGGAUGGUAUCGACAUGUGAGACUGGUUGAGUUUGCGUACAACAACAAGCUAUCAAACAAGCAUUCAGAUGGCUCCGUUUGAGGCAUUGUAUGGACGCAGAUGUCGAUCCCCCUGUUUUGGAGUGAUGUGGGUGAGCGGAGGACACUGGACCGGAGAUUUUACUUGAGGCUGAGGAAAAGGUGAGAGUCGUCCGCACACUUCUGACAGCACAGAGCCGACAGAGGAGCUACGCCCGAUAUCAGGAGACGAGACUUAGAGUUUUCAGGUUGAGAUCAUGUUUUCUCAAAGUCUCACCGUCCAGAGGGAUACGCCGUUUUGGGAGUACGUGGAAAGCUUAGUCCACGGUUUGUGGCCCUUUCGAUGUAUUAGAGCGUAUCGGACCGUGUGGCUUACAGGAUAGCUCUACUCCCCCGCACUUGCUGGCACCACGAUGUUUUCCACGUCUCAGCAUUGAGGAGAUACGUUUUCGACCCCUCAUCACGGAUUGACUUCACUCCACUAGAAGAUUGGAGAGGAUCUAAGAUACGAGGAGCGACCGGUGCGGAUUCUUGCUCGUGAGACGAAAAAUUGCGCAACCGGGUCAUCCCGUAUGUAAAGGUGCAGUGGAGUAAUCACGAGGAGAGGGAGGCGACUUGGGAGCCCAAGACGAUGAUGAGGGAGUCCUAUCCCGACCUAUUCGUUGCCCUGUCUUGAGGUAUAUUUUAAGUUUCGAAGGACGAAACUUUUUGUAGUGGGGGAGAAUUAGUAUCCUCAUAUAUAUAUAUAUAUAUAUAUAUAUAUAUUAUAUAUAUAUAUAUAAAUAUAUAUAUAUAUAUAUUAUAUAUAAUAUAAUUAUAUGGAUCUGCCACGUACCCCCCUCCCAUGCAUGCAUGCUUAUCAUUUUAAUUGAGGUUGCAACCAACACCUCUUUAUUAAAUUCCUCCCUAUCUGUCUCUGGAGCCAUACGCAAGGAGGAGGAGCUUGGGUGGACCGUUCGUCGCCGACGUCGCGCGCGGAGCCGUCGAGCAUACUGCGUCGCCGUAGUUUAGCAAGGAGGCCGGGAGGGAGUGUUUUCGUCGGUCUCGACGCCGUGCCGGAAUUGGAGUCGCUGGUUGAGGUGGGUAAUCUAUCUCUCAUUCCUCUAUGGAUUUCUUCUCUACUUCAAGCUUCAUUUCAAUUCGAGCUUAAGUGCUGAUUCGCAGGAUCUUGUCGUCGACUGUUAGUAUUUCAGCUCGUACGCGACGUAGGAGCAUCGGAUUUCGACGAGAUUUGUUCGUUGGAACGGGACUUCGAGACGAAUUCAUAGGAUCCUUACUCCCAAUUUGGAGAAGUUUUCUCUGUGAAAUCUCUUUUUACUGAGUUGCUGUUUGCCGAGCAGACUCUGAAGUGCUGAUUGCUGAUUCCAGCAUCGACCCCGUGUUUUACUAGUUCUCUGUGUAGGAGUGUCGAACGCGACGAAAUUUGACGUGUUAGAUUCGCGACUUCGAGACGAAGAUUCUGAGCCCAAAGAUGCGAUUUUUGGAGGCAGUUUGCCCUGUCAAACCCUAGUUUUACUAGGCAUGUUGUUGCCGAGCAGAUUUCAGAGAUGCUGUUUCGCAGGUUCCAGCGUCGACGUUUCGUAUUCUGGGCCGUUCUCUGGUAGGAGCUAGAAUUCAGCGAAACCUGGGCCAUUGAUGCGUGACUCAAGACAAAGCUCAGGACCCUUGUUUGCUGAAUUUGGAUAAGGUUAGCUUGGUCGAAUUUACGUUUUUCUUCGCUGCCAGGAGUUGCUUGAGAGGUGGGUUACAUCGGUUUUUACUCCUAAGUUCAUAUUCGUCGGCAUGUAUAAUUCUUCGACCUUUGGAUACUCUAUUCUAGCUUCGAAUUCAUGGAUUUAAUCGUAGAUUGCAAAUCUGAAUUUGGAGCAUGUGGUAAUAAUUAAGUAGGUUAUACAUGUUGGACUUGGAAAUUGAAUUAGGAGAAAACCUGCGAUUUGGACCUGUCACUCGUUUAAACUGCCUGAUUUUAGCUCUAGGAGCCGUUAUUAAAUGUACUGUCGCAGUAUUUUCGAGACGAGUACUCCAGGUAGUUUAGAUUACAUUUACGCUCGUGCUGGUGCGCCGAGUGGAUUUUUACAGGAUCGUUCAGGUUGUUGCCGACUGGUGGGUGCCGUCGAGAGUACGUGGACCCGUAUCGCCUUUUUGGGCGUCAGAUGUGCCGAGGGCACAUUACCUGUUGGUGGUUAGACCAGUUUGAGUCGGUUACUUGACUUUGGCUUUUCAGAGCCUGUUGAGCUCGACAGAGAUACGCUGCAUACUCGGUGGGUAGCGCCCACGAGUGCCACUCCGGAUCAGGCUUUGUGCUUUCGCGUUGGGUGGUCGCUCAUGCCAUUGGAGACUUGCUCUCUACGGACCAGUUAGUGUGGAUAGAGCCCGAUAGUCGCAACGGGGCAGGGACGGGUGUAUUCACAGUCCCGGGGACGGGUAUGCUUACAGUCCCGAUUGGAUUGGGUUCAGAUUGGACAUUUUUUUCAGUUGUUAGUGUAGAGCAUGAUAAUGUAGUGUUUGAUAGCGGUAGACUUUUAUUCCUGCAUUUACUACUAUUCUUGCUCUCCUCUGUAGACUUAGUGGGUGGACUGAUGUUGUUUUGGGCGGCACCCACUGAGGACUACUUGUUUUUAUAGUAGUUCUCACGCCCAGUUGUUACCCCUGUUUUGCAGAGCCACAGGUUUUAGCUGCUGCGCCUUCCGCGGAUCAGGAUCGAUGCAAGGGCGUCGCGAGUUAGAGCCUACCCGACUGACAGAGCUAGAGGCACCCUACUACAGGUAGUUGUUUUACUUCGAGCAUUAAGUACAUAGUACUUAACUAGCCAGUGCGAGUAACGGCUGUAUUUUGGAUUCUGAACUAUAUAUAUGAAGCUCUGUUGGUGUACUUUUGUUUACUCGAGCAGCUCAAUACUACUGUUUGUAUAUAUAUGAUUGCAGGUACUAUGUCGCUUCGUAUACAGGGGAAUUUCCUUUGUAUACGGCGGAUUUGUCGCAUGCCGGGGAACGUGACAUCCGGGGCGUGACAGUUAAAACUGAUCUAGGGUAUUUAAAGUUUUUAGAAAUAAAAUUUAUAUUUUUUCGACAUAGUUUACUUUAUAAUUAAAAUAUUUCAAAAUUGUCAAUUUAUCAAUGUCUAUUAUGAUGAAUUUGGAGUUUAACGUGUAGAAGAAUCUAAAUUUCUUCAAAUUUGAUAGAAAAUACUUUAACUAUAUAGAUUAAGGUUAACAUUCUUGAUCUUGAAUUUAAAAGUCUAGGCUCAAAUUUUAAAAGUAUUCAAUUCCCACCGUUCCAUUUUGACAUAAUUUAUUUACUAAGUAAACGAUAUCGAAAAGAACUAAAAUUUUAUUCCUAAGAACUUCAUAUACCCUAAAUCAUAUUUAACGUAUGGGAUCGUAUGAUUGAACGCUCUAAGAUCGAAAACAACACUAUAUGUAUGGGAGUCCCGUACUAUAGAUAGUAUAUGUAGCCAAUUCAAAUUUUUAUUAAUCAUAUUAUUAAUAAAAUUUAAUAAUUUAAUAAUUUUUGUACAACUUUUUUACCCUGUAUAUAAAAAUUUAAUAAUUUUUGUAUAUGAUAUUUUUUAUCUAUAUACUAUGAUGUCGGUGGAGCAAACAUGGGUUUGCCGCACCCGUUAUUUUAGAUUUGGAUCAGAUCAGACUCGUACGGCGCAGCACUUUUGGCUCAUCGGUAAAAAAUUAAUAAAUUAAAAAAAUAAUAACACCAUUAAUCCGAUCCCGCGCUCGUGAAAAAUUUACGGAAAAACCCCCACCCUUUUUGCGCCCAAGUCUCGCACGUGCGCUCCCUCAAGAAAGGCACGUGCGAAACUCGCCCCGACUGCGUUUUCACUCCCCCACAUCUCAUUAUUUACCGCACUCGACCACCGAUGCUGGUUACUAUAAAAGGCGCUUCUCCCCCAAUCGCAAGGAUAUCGUUCUCUCCUCUCUCCUCUCUCUCUCUCUCAAUCUCCGUCGCGGUGCUUCCCCUAAUUCGCUUCUCUCUCUCUCUCUCUCUCGUGGAGCUCUCGACCGGUCGAUCGCGAGCAAGAAGAGGCGGGGCGAAGGUCGGCUGUUGAUUGGANNNNNNNNNNNNNNNNNNNNNNNNNAGUGACCCGAGAAGAUUGAGGCGAUUCGAGAUUGGCCUAGACCAACGACGGUGACGGAGGUACGGAGCUUCCUGGGACUGGCAGGAUAUUACGUCAGUUUGUGGAAGGCUUUGCGAAGCUUUCCACACCCCUCACACGCUUGACGGGAAGGGGAUUCGUUUUGUCUUGAGCGACGACUGUAGAGGAGCUUUAGACGAGUUGAGACUUUGAGGUUGCGUCGGCUCCUAUCCUUGCCCUUCCAGGUGAUGGGGAUGUCUUGGGAACAUCCUCGGCCCUCACCCUCAACUGGUGGUAACCUGACUGGAGAUCAAUCUUCGAGAAGACAUAAGAUCCCUGCAGCUGAUCAAACAAAUCAUCAAUGCGCGGCAAGGGAUACUUAUUCUUGAUGGUCACUUUAUUCAGCUCCCGGUAAUCUACACAUAACCUGAGCGAACCAUCCUUCUUCUUAACAAAUAACACUGGCGCUCCCCAAGGCGACACACUGGGUCUCACAUAUCCCUUGUCCAUCAAAUCCUGAAGCUGCGCCUUUAGCUCUCUCAGCUCAGCCGGCGCCAUCCGAUAAGGUACCUUUGAGAUUGGUGUAGUUCCAGGAACUACAUCAAUCACAAACUCAAUCUCCCUCUCCGGCGGCAAUGUCGUCAACUCAAGGGGAAAUACAUCCGGAAACUCGCGGACUACUGGAAUAUCCUCGAGUCCCGGUGCCGUCGUAGGUACCUCCACAACUGUCGCUAAGAAAGCAAUACACCCGCUACUCAGCAUCUGUCGAGCCCUCGCCGAAGAAAUCCAUGGAGGAAUGAGAGAUUACCCAUGGAUCAUUGAUUUGAACGCCCGAAAAUCGAAAACAACACUAUAGUACGGGAGCUCCCGUACUAUAGAUAGUAUAGUAGCCGGACUCUAAAAAAUUUAUAUAUAAAAAUUAAUAGAUUUUUAUAUACGGUAUAAAAAAAAUUGUAUACCGAGCAUAUAAGACAUGAACCAAACUUUUUUAAAAAAUAAGUAUCGCGAUCAAUCCUAUUUUUUUAAUAGUAUACGAUAUGAACAAACCUUUUUUAAAAAAAAUGUUGUGCACGAAAUAUAAAAGAUACGAACCAAACCUUCUAUUUUUUAAUUUAAUAAUAUAAUUGAUAAAAAAAUUACAUACGAAAAUUAAUAGAUUUUUAUAUACGGUGUAAAAAAAAUUGUACACCGAGCAUAUAAUACAUUUUUUUAAAAUAAUUAUUGCAUAGAUUAAUCCUAUUUUUUAAUAGUAUCUUUUUUUUUUAAUAUUAUAAGACGUGAACCAAACCUUUUUUUAAAAUAAUUAUCGUAUGGACAAACCUUAUUUUUUAAUAGUCAAUAUAACAAAAUUAAAAUUUUAUCUAUUAAAUACAAUCUAUAAUUAAUAAAUAUUUUUGCUGUAUCGUAUGAACCAACCCUAUUUUUUAAUAGUAUAAUUAAUAAAAAAAUCCCAUACAAAAAUUAAUAGAUUUUUAUAUACGGUGAAAAAAAAAUUGUAUACCGAGUAUGUAAGAUAUGAACCAAACUUUUUUUAAAAAUAAUUAUCGCAUGGAUCAACCCUAUUUUUUAAUAGCAUAAUACAUAAACCAAAACUUUUUUAAAAUUAAUUAUCUCAUGAACCAACACUAUUUUUUAAUAGUUACUAUAACAAAAUUAAAAAUUUCAUCUAAUAAAUACAAUUUAUAAUUAAUAAAAAACUAAUAUAAUUUAAUUGUAUUUAAUAUUGUAAAAUUUCUAAAAUGAAUGUGCUUUAUAUAAAGUUAGCGCGAAAUAUUGUAUCUAAUUUGUCGGGAUAUAUUUUCUACUUCGUAUAUUACUAUAUAUUUUUAUAUACUCAUAAAAUUAUACAUAUCUAAAUAAAUAAAUAUUGUGCAAAUUAAUUAAAAUAUUUUUUUCUCGCAGCAUUGCGCGGGCCCUUAGCUAGUAUAUCAUAAAUUCAAAACACAUGCACCUACUACAAUAUAGUUAGAAAGCAUGCAUAAUAAGUUCAAAAUCUUAUAAUGAAAUAAACGAAGCGGGUAGCGUGCUACUUAUCUCUCAAAAAAAAAAAAGAAAAAAAAAGUUCAAAAUCUUAUAAUGAAAAGAUGAGUAUCAAGGUUUUUUUUCUCUUUGGUUUCAGUUGACGGUCAGAUAUUUUACCGAGUCGGUGUCAAGAUUCGAAUAUGAAAACUAUCUCAGACCCUACCCACCAAAGGGUCAGGUCCAGAUCAGGUCCGAGUGGGUAUGAUUAUGAAGUAUUCAAAUCUAUACCGGAUGCAUACCAAAAAUAUAAUAAUAAUAGAAGUGGUGUUGGGUAGGUGGAACCAGUUGUAUCAGUUGGCUUGAUCGACCAGACUACACACUAGAUCGACCGUCCGAUUGAUCUAAGCUGAGUCCAGAUUGCUAGAUCGGGGAUCUGCUCCAACGGUGCUCAAUAGUGGCUUGAUCUGAUUUUUCAAGUUCAAAACUACAACAUUCACAAAACAAAAAACCUUCCCUAUUCCAUUUCUAAGUCAUAAAAUUUUCCACUUAGGGUGUGUUUGGAUCCCUGUUAAAUUCCUUCGAAAAAAAAUUUUCGGUGGAAAAUUUGUUUUUCCUUGUAUGGUUGUCUGUAAAAAUUUUUUUGGAAAAGUUAUUUUACAGAUUUCUAGGAAAAAUUCAGCUUUUCGUUUUCCGCUUGCCGUCCGCGGAAAACGAAAAGCUACAGGAAAAUAUCGCGGCGUUUGGCGCGAAGGGGAGCAACGGGAUGACGCGGUCCACAAGACCACUUUGGCCUCGUAGACCGCGUCGGAGGGAGGUCCACAGCAGCCCUUGUGUUUCUAAUUUUCUAAUCACCCAUCAAGUUUGAUGGGUGGUUAGAAUGAGAGAGGGAGAAAAUAUUGGGGAGAAAUUGGGUAUUUCAAUUUCUCUUCUUAUUAAAUUUCUCUUUAAUAUCUCCUCUGUCUCUCUCAUUCUAACCACCAAUCAAACUUGAUGGGUGGUUAAAAAGUUAGGAGUAUAAGGGCUGUUGUGCUCCUAAUAGCACAGUAGUCCUGCUCUAUAUAUAUAUAUACUAGCUGAGUGUACGUGCAAAUACACGUAACAAUUAUUUUAAUUUAUUUUAAAUCAAUAUAAAUUUGCACAUUAUAUUUAUUUAAAAAUUUAUUAAUUUAUUAAUUCAUAUGUUAUAUUUUAUUAGAAAAUAUUUGUAAUAUUCUAUAUUUUUUUACAUAUAUUAAAUAUUUAUAUAUAUUUUUUGAUUUCUGAUGAUCUAAAAUUUAAAUAUGUGUUUUAAACAAAAAGCAUCAAAAUUUAAUUCAUAUUUAUUUCAAAAUUUAAAAUUUAAUUUUUAUCCACUAUAAUUAAAAUUUUGGAUAAGAAUGCUAUUUUAUUAGCAAAUUAUCAUUUGAAAUCCACUAUCAUCACAUUUCUCACACACUUUUUCAUAUGUCCAAAUCAAGGCUUAUAUAUAGAGUGAAAAGUAAUGAGCAGUGUCUUUUCAAAUAUGAAAAAAAGCAAAUUAUCUUUUGAAAUCAAAUAACUACCUUUAUUAUGAAAGUAUGUGUCCUUUUAUUAGCAACUAAAAUUUUGAAUUAAUUAAAUAAAUAUUUCUGCAUUCAGACCUUUAUUAAUUUUGCAUGAGAAAGACAAGUUGAGAUGACGAUGAUGGCACAGAGUGGAAACAAAGAAGAAGAAAGAACGGAGGACGGGAAGAGAGGGAGAUUAAAAUUAUAGUGGAAGAUAGGGCGGAGGAUUUAAUUCAUUUUUUUAAAAAAUUAAUUUCAAUUGUAAAAAAUAGUAAAAGUAUAUGAAAAUCCUACCAACUGUCAUGAAAUUAUUAAAAUAAAUUAACAAUUUGAUCCAAAAGUGACGUAAGAUUAUUGAGAGAAAACUAAAACUAACAUAACAAAUAAUUCUUUAACUCGAAAAGGCACGACAAUAAAUAUUCAUAAACGAAAUCAACUUUUGAACAUUUAUUUUCAAAGUAAAUGCAUUAUAAUAAUGUUAUUAAAGUAUGAAUAAUCUUGAUAUAUUGUCACGCCCCGGAUUACACUUUCCCCGGGCACGCCGACAAAUCCGCCGUAUACAAAGGAAUUUCCCCUGUAUACGAAGCGUUAGCUGUACCUGUAAAUCAAACACUACUACGAACAGUAGUAGAGAGCUGCUAGAGAAAACAGAAGCUAAACAAACUGAGUUUCAUAUACAUAGUCCAUAUCCAAAAUACAAAGCUACUCGCACUGGCGAGUUAAGUCCACUAUGUACAUAAACUCGAAACAAAACAUCUACCUGCAGUAGGGUGCCUCUAACUCUGCACGUCGGGUAGGGCUCUAACUCGCGACGCCCUUGCCUCGAUCCUGAUCCGCGGAAGGCGCAGUAGCCGAAACCUGUGGCUCUGCAAAACAUAGGUAACAACUGGGCGUGAGAACUACUGUAAAAACAAGUAGUCCUCAGUGGGUACCGCCCAAAACGACAUCGGUCACCCACUAAGUCUACAGAAGGGAGCAAGGAUAGAAGGAAAAGCAGGAAGUACACUCUAUCGCUAUCAUCCACUACACUAUCAUGCUCUACAUUAACCGACUGUAGGAAAUGUCAAAUCUGACCCAAUCCAAUUGGGACUGUAAACAUACCCGUCCCUGGGACUGUGAACACACCCGUCCCUGCCCCGUUGCGACUAUCAGGCUCUAUCCACACUAGCUGGUCCGUGGAGAGCAAGUCCAACUGGCAUGAGCGACACCAACGCAAAAGCACCGCGCCCGCCUCCGGAGUGGCACUCGUGGGAGCUACCCAACCGAGUAUGCAGCGUAUCUCUGUCGAGCUCAAACAGGCUCUCUAACUCAAGCCGAAGUCCAGUAACAACUCUGACUAGUCUAAAUACAACAAACAACGUGCCCUCGGCACAAUCCGACGCCAAAACGGCGAACCGGGCCCACCGUCAGUCCCGACGGCGCCCACUAGUACGAAACAGUCUAAACGACCUCAGAAAAAUUCACUCGGCAUACCAGCACGAGCGUAAAUGUAUUCUAAACUACCUGGAGUACUCGUCUACAGUAUGCUGCGACAGUACAAUUCUAUAACGGCUCCUAGAGCUAAAUCAGGCAGUUUAAUACAUAUGUCGAUUCCAAUCGCGUUUUCUCCUAAGUUUAAACCCAGUCCAACAUGUAUAUUUAAAAGGUAAUAAUCAUGUUAUAUAUGCAGCAUUUAUCCAGGAUAUCAUUAUGAAAAACGAACUACAACAUGAUUUACCGAACAGAAAAUCAUACAUGUCGACUAUUACUACACUUAGGAAUAAACCGAUGUAAACCCACCUUAGUCGCUAAUUCUGGCAGCAAAACACCCUCACAGCUGCAGCACCACCUGCUGGUCGAUCUACACCCUCCAAAUCCGGGAGUCGAGCUAACACCACGCUCUACAAAGCACAAAUCACCGUUUCAGUCCCAAAAUUCGCAACAGUCAGGUACAGCACGGAUUCGACCAAUCUAACCUCAACGAAAUCUGGCAAGUAAGGGCUUCGUGGAUUCCUCUCGAAGUCCUGAAUCCAGCGAAUCAAGCCUCGUCGAAAUCCGACGCUCCUACGUCGAGUACGAGCCGAAACGCCAACGGUCGACGCUGGAAAUCUGCAGGGACAGCAACUAGCUCGAAAUUGAAAAAGCUUGGAAAUUAGGAAGCAAUUCUAUGGAACACCCACCUCGACGGCGACUAGCACUGGCGCGACGUCAAGAACGGCGAAGAUCCACGCUCGCCCGGCCUCCUCACGAUGCAACGGCAGCAACCGUAGGUUCGAACGGCUCUGCGGUGCGACGUCGACGGCGAAAUCGGCUCCGCGGCGGCGUCCCUCGCGUGCUUCCUUGGUACGGCCGAACGAAAGAGAAAAGGAGAGAAGAGAGGAGAUAAACUCCUCUCUCUCUCUUCCCUGCAUGCAUAAAAGAGGGGGGGGAGGUGAUGCCACAUGGCAUUACACAUACUCACACAUGUGCACUCACACACACACACACACGUACCCUCACACACACACUUAUAUAUAUAUACUAAGUGUAGGGAUACUAGUAUACUACAUCCUCCCCCACUACAAAAAGUUUCGUCCGCGAAACUGAACGUACCUCUACUCAAGCAUCAAACAAGUAGGGAUAGGCUUCCCUCAUCACCGUCUCAGACUCCCAAGUCGCCUCCCGCUCAUCAUGAUUACUCCACUGCACUUUCACAUACGGGAUGACCCGGUUGCGCAAUUCUUUCGUCUCCCGAGCAAGAAUCCGCAACGGUCGCUCCUCGUAUCUCAGAUCCUCGCCAAUCUCAAGUGGAGUGAAGUCAAUCACGUGAGAGGGAUCGAAAACGUAUCUCCUCAAUGCUGAGACGUGGAAAACAUCAUGGAUGCCAGCAAGUCGCGGGGGUAGAGCUAUCCUGUAAGCCACCGGUCCGAUACGCUCCAAUACCUCGAAAGGGCCAACAAACCGUGGACUAAGCUUUCCACGUACUCCAAAUCUGCGUAUCCCUCGGGACGGCGAGACUUUGAGGAAAACAUGAUCUCCAACCUGAAACUCCAAGUCUCGUCUCCUGGUAUCGGCGUAGCUCCUCUGUCGGCUCUGUGCUGUCAAAAGGUGUCGUCGAACGACUCUCACCUUUUCCUCAGCCUCAAGUAGAAUCUCCGGUCCAAGUGUCCUCCGCUCACCCACAUCACUCCAAAACAGGGGGGAUCGACAUCUGCGUCCAUACAACGCCUCAAACGGAGCCAUCUGAAUGCUCGUUUGAUAGCUGUUGUUGUACGCAAACUCAACCAGUCUCACAUGUCGAUACCACCCUCCUCCAAAAUCCAGGACGCAUGCCCUCAGCAUGUCCUCUAGAGUCUGUAUGGUCCGCUCUGACUGACCAUCUGUCUGUGGGUGGAACGCCGUGCUAAAAUGCAGCUGUGUACCCAAGGCUGUCUGCAAACUCCUCCAAAACUGGGAUACAAACCUCGGGUCUCUGUCUGAUACAAUCGACACUGGCACGCCGUGCAGCCUAACAAUCUCAUCCAAGUAUAGCUGCGCAAGUCUCUCCCUGGACCAGGUAGUCUGAACCGGUAGGAAGUGAGCAGACUUGGUCAGUCUGUCCACUAUCACCCAAAUCGCGUCGUAGCCACCCUGCGCUCUAGGCAAUCCAACGACGAAGUCCAUCGUGAUGUGCUCCCACUUCCACUCGGGAACUGGCAGACUCUGAAGCUUGCCAGCAGGCACCUGAUGCUCGGCCUUCACCUGUUGGCAAGUCAAACACUGAGCCACAUAUCUGCCAAUGUCCCGCUUCAUUCCAGGCCACCAGAAUCGUGCCUUAAGAUCCUUAUACAUCUUGGUUCCCCCAGGAUGAACCGUAUAAGGGGAACAAUGAGCCUCUCUCAGAAUAUCCGCUCGAAUCUCCGGAUCCACAGGCACACACAGUCGGUCCCUGUACCGUAGUACUCCCGAACUGUCCAAAGCAAAACCCUCAGCCUGCCCCCUGUCUAGCUGCUCUCUAAUCCUCAACAAGUACGGAUCUCCACUCUGUUUCUCUCGGAUCCUAUCCAACAGAGUGGGCUGUAAAACUAGAGACGUCAGCCUCGCCGUAGACCCAGGGGGUACUAUCUCGAGUCCCAGCCGCUGUAGCUCCUCGAGUAGGGGUCUCUGCUCAGUAAUCCUCAAACUCAGGCUCUGCACUGACUUCCUGCUCAACGCAUCUGCCACCACAUUCGCCCUGCCGGGAUGAUACUGAAUACUAAUGUCAUAGUCCUUCAGUAACUCCAACCACCGGCGCUGCCUCAGAUUCAGCUCCCUCUGUGUGAACAGAUACUUGAGACUUUGAUGAUCGGUGAAAACCUCGCAGUGCUCGCCGUACAAGUAAUGCCGCCAGAGCUUCAAAGCAAAAACCACCGCGGCAAGCUCCAAGUCAUGCGUAGGGUAAUUCUUCUCAUAAUCCUUUAACUGCCGUGAAGCAUAAGCAAUCACCCUACCAUGCUGCAUCAGCACGCAACCAAGUCCACUGUGCGAUGCAUCACUGUAGAUCACAAAUCCUUCGCCCAUAACAGGAAGGGCAAGGAUAGGAGCCGACAUCAACCUCAAUCUCAACUCGUCAAAGCUCCUCUGACAGUCGUCGCUCCAGACAAAACGAAUCCCCUUCCGCGUCAAGCGUGUGAGGGGUGUGGAAAGCUUCGCAAAGCCUUCCACAAACCGACGGUAAUAUCCUGCCAGUCCCAGGAAGCUCCGUACCUCAGUAACCGUCGUCGGUCUAGGCCAAUCUCGAAUCGCCUCAAUCUUCUUCGGGUCCACUGCUACGCCCUCAGCUGAAAUCACGUGGCCCAAGAAAGCAACCUCCCGUAGCCAGAACUCGCACUUCUUUAACUUGGCAUACAACUUCUUCUCGCGCAGAAGCUGUAGCACAAUCCUCAAGUGCUCCUCAUGCUCAGCAUCACUCCGGGAGUAAAUCAGGAUAUCGUCGAUGAAGACUACCACAAACCUAUCCAAGAACGGCUUGAACACUCUGUUCAUCAAAUCCAUGAAUGCGGCAGGGGCAUUCGUCAAUCCAAAAGGCAUCACCGUGAACUCAUAAUGCCCGUACCGAGUCCGAAAAGCCGUCUUGGGAACAUCCUCGGCCCUCACCCUCAGCUGGUGGUAACCUGACUGGAGAUCAAUCUUCGAAAAGACACAAGAUCCUUGCAGCUGAUCGAAUAGAUCAUCAAUGCGCGGCAGAGGAUACUUGUUCUUGAUGGUCACUUUAUUCAGCUCCCGGUAAUCCACACAUAACCUGAGCGAACCAUCCUUCUUCUUUACAAAUAACACCGGCGCUCCCCAAGGCGACACACUGGGUCUCACAAACCCUCUAUCCAUCAGAUCCUGAAGUUGCGCCUUUAGCUCUCUCAGCUCUGCCGGUGCCAUCCUGUAAGGUACCUUUGAGAUUGGUGCAGUUCCAGGAACUACAUCAAUCACAAACUCAAUCUCCCUCUCCGGCGGCAAUGUCGUCAACUCAGGGGGAAACACAUCCGAAAACUCGCGGACUACUGGGAUGUCCUCGAGUCUCGGCGCCGCCGUAGGUACCUCCACAACUGUCGCUAGGAAAGCGAUACACCCACUGCUCAGCAUCUGUCGAGCCCUCGCCGAAGAUAUCCAGGUGGCAAACAGCGUGCUCCUGCAGCCUCUGAAAGUAAACUCCUCCUGGCCUGGCUCGCGGAACGUCACCGUCCUCGCUCCACAGUCGAUCGUAGCAUAGUACCGCGCCAGCCAAUCCAUACCGAGCACUACGUCGAAGUCCUGCAGCUGCCCUAACACCAACAGGUCUGCGGGCAUGAUCCAAGAGUCUAACUGCACCGGACAGGACCAACAACACUCUGUAACCUGCAAGACAUGGUCGGGGAUCUGCACCUCUCGUGCCUGAGACAACGCUCCUAACUCUAGACCAUGCAACAAUGCAAAUGCUCGGCUAACAAAGGAAUGCGAUGCACCGGUAUCAAAAAGAGUGCGAACUCUAAUGCCAGAAAUCAAAGUGAUACCUGCCACCACUCGGUCGGCUGCUGAAGAGUCCUCCACCUGAGCUGCAUAGACCCUGCCACUCGGAGCCUGCUGUCGCCGCUCACUCGACCGCGGCACAGACGAUCUGUCCUCCUGGCGGUAGCUCGGUGCUGCUCCGUAAGACUGCUGUGGUGCUGGUGGUGCCGAAGCUGAUGACGGUGCUGGAGAUGCUGCUCGGGGACAAGCUGCCCUCAUGUGUCCCGGCUGACCACAUCCGUAGCACCUGCCCUCUCUCUGCUCGCACUGCCGAGGCCAGUGUGGUCCCCCGCAGAUCACACACUGUGGCGUCCUCUGAGUCUGCCCCUGCUGACGGGAUCCCCUGGAACGCUGACGCCCCGAAGACCCACGACCCUGAGAACGUGAUCGUGGAGGUCUCGGCGGACGUCUGCUGCUCGACUGCCCUCCGUCAUCUGGAAAGGGGCGCUUCCUGUCCUGACCCUGCCCCACGGCCUGAGUCCUCUCCUGCAGCGACACCUCACCUCUCUCCACCCAUAGGGCCUGCUCUAUGGACGCAUCCAGGGUCCUCGACCUCUGCGCCCGCACUAACCUGAAGAUGUCCGGUCUCAGCCCCUGCUCGAACAUGUAUACUCUGUGCGCCUCGUCUCUGGCCGCAAAUGGUACACAGUUCAGGAGUCGAGUAAACUCCCGAACGUACUCCUGCACUGGGCGAUCUCCCUGCUGAAGCCUCCUCAAAUCCUCCUCGAGCUUCUGCUUCACACUGUUGGGAAAGAACAUCCCAAACAGCAUUCCACAGAACUCGUCCCAACUCAGCUGCGCCGCCACUAGCCCCUGGUCUCGCCUCGUCCUCCGCCACCAGUCAUGAGCAUCACCUGCUAGACAGUGUACUCCCAGGGGUACCUGCUCCCCCUCUGGAACGAACAGAUCCUCGAAUAACUUCUCCAUCGCACUGACCCAUCCCUCAACAAUCCAGGCCUCAGUGCCUCUGCCAUCGAAGAUCGGUGGAUCAAAUCGGCGAAAACGAGCUAACCUCUCCGUCCACCGCUCCUGCUCGGCCUCAGUCAACGGUACUGGCCCCCUAGCAGGCGCAACUGGCGCUACUGGAACUGCUGCCGAUGGAGGAACUGCUGCAGCUGGUGCUGUCACUGGAGUAGUCGGGGGUGGAACUGGCGACUCUGGUGCCCUCGGUACAGAACUCGGUGGCUGAGCUAUCCUCUCACACAACCUCUGCAAUAGCUCCCCCUGCUGUCUCGUCACCUCGGUCAGGGCAGCUAACUGUGCACUCAGAUCAGGGGGUGCGCUAGUCUCUGGUCGCGCACUCGGCUCCACAACAGGGGGUACACUCGCCCCCAGUCUGUCACCCUGCUCCUGCCGAGUACUCUGCUCCAUCUGCUCAGAUCUCUCAGAAGGUCCAGCAUGAUCCCGCGCCAACUGGGCGCGCUCCCGCAACGACGGUCGACCCCGGCGACGAUACAUAGCUGAAAGGAACAAUUCGGGGUCAGAUACAACAAAACACUCUCGACCCAAUCAAACGAAAGUCUAGAAGGCGGUCCCUGUUUCCCUCCAAAAUUAUGUCGUCUGCAGCCAACAUAAUUUCUCAGGCCGAAACAGAAACUCCUUCAGUCACUCACUCUGCUCUAAGAGGAGUUAGAACAAAUAAUCAUUGACUUUCGCAAUAAAAUUACGCCUCUCACGUCUUGCUUCCCUAAGGUUUGCCAAACUUAGGUUUCCUAGGUCCCCACGACCUACAGCAAAGCUCUGAUACCAACUUAAUCUGUCACGCCCCGGAUUACACUUUCCCCGGGCACGCCGACAAAUCCGCCGUAUACAAAGGAAUUUUCCCUGUAUACGAAGCGAUAGCUGUACCUGUAAAUCAAACACUACUACGAACAGUAGUAGAGAGCUGCUAGAGAAAACAGAAGCUAAACAAACUGAGUUUCAUAUACAUAGUCCAAAUCCAAAAUACAAAGCUACUCGCACUGGCGAGUUAAGUCCACUAUGUACAUAAACUCGAAACAAAACAUCUACCUGCAGUAGGGGCACCUCUAGCUCAGCACGUCGGGUAGGGCUCUAACUCGCGACGCCCUUACCUCGAUCCUGAUCCGCGGAAGGCGCAGCAGCCGAAACCUGUGGCUCUGCAAAACGGGGGUAACAACUGGGCGUGAGAACUACUAUAAAAACAAGUAGUCCUCAGUGGGUACCGCCCAAAACAACAUCGGUCCACCCACUAAGUCUACAGGAGGGAGCAAGAAUAGUAGGAAAAGCAGGAAACAAACUCAACCGCUACAAAUCACUAUACUAUCAUGCUCUACACUAACCAACUGUAGGAAAUGUCAAAUCUGACCCAAUCCAAUCGGGACUGUAGACAUACCCGUCCCUGGGACUGUGAACACACCCGUCCCUGCCCCGUUGCGACUAUCGGGCUCUAUCCACACUAACUGGUCCGUGGAGAGCAAGUCCAACUGGCAUGAGCGACACCAACGCAAAAGCACAAGCCUGACUCCGGAGUGGCACUCGUGGGCGCUACCCAACCGAGUAUGCAGCGUAUCUCUGUCGAGCUCAAUCAGGCUCCAACUAGCCAAAGUCAAGUAAUCGACUUAAACUGGUCUAACAACCAACAGGUAACGUGCCCUCGGCACAAUCUGACGCCAAAAAGGCGAUACGGUCCACCGUCAACUCUGACGGCACCCAACAGUCCGAAACGGCCUGAACGACCCUGCAAAAAUUCACUCGGCGAACCAGCACGAGUGUAAAUACAUUCUAAACUACCCAAGGUAUCCAUUGCACUGACUCGGCAACGAUACAAUCGAACACGGCUCCUAGAGCUAAAUCUGGUAGUUUAAGCAUAUGACGGGUCAAAACGCAGGUUUUCUCCUAAGUCAAAUUUCAAGUCCAACAUGUAUAAUUUAAAUAUUCAUUUCAGCAUGCUUCUACAUUCAUAUUACAUUCAAAAUGCUAAUCGAUGAAUUAAAGCAUGAUUUACAACACUCGAACUAUACACGUUGACUAACAUGCACUUAGGAGCGAAACCGAUGAAACACCCACCUCUAAUGCAAUUCCUGGCAGCAAUAGGGUCUCGGAUCCUCAAGCAACACUGCUGGAAACCUCUUCAAACCAGCAACAAAGCCCCUUAAGAUCUGGAUUUACAAUGCACCCAAAAAUCCAAUAAAAAUCAUCAAAAUCCACAAUUCAGUCCAAGUACACAGCAGCAGAGAAGAGAAGGGUUUCGACCAAGCUAACCUUCACCAAAAUCCACAAGUAAGGACUUCGUGGAUUCUUCUCGCAGUCCCGAAACCAACGAAUCAAGUCUCGACGAAAUCCGAUGCUCCUACGUCGAGUACGAGCUGAAAUACUAACAGUCGACGAUGAAUUUCAGCAAAACAGCAUUUAAGCUUAAAUAUCUCAAUUCCAAUGUCAAAACUCACCAAACGAACUCCAAAUCAGGUGGAGAGGGUCCCAAUUCCAGUACUGGGUGAUAGGGAAAAUAACUCAACUCCACAAAGCCCCUGCUUCCCAAGUUCACCCCAAGAAAACAUCAAAAAUUGGCAAAUUCUGUCCAAAGCAACAACAGCAGAGGAAAACCUGAGUUCGACUGAGCUAACCUUCACCAAAUUCUGCAAAUUAGGGCUUCGUGGAUUCCUCUGGAAGUCAAGAAUCCAGCAAACCAAGUUUCGUUGAAAUCCGACCUUCCUACGUCACGCACGAGCCAAAACACUGGAGGUCGUCGCUGAAGAACUGCAAAAUCAGCACCUUGCAAUUCUUGGAGAGGUGGAUCUUGAUGCAAAUUGGAAAGAUUUGAGGGAUUUGGGAGUAAAAUCUAAGUCCUCUGUGAAGAACAGGUAAAAGAGCUCAAAGGGGGCGCUUCUCAGCUAUUUAUAGGCUGCUGGAUAGAUCAGAUAAGCCCCAGGAAAAAUAGCCGCAAUCCAGUGCCCCUGCAGAAACGGGCGUUUCUGGGCGCCCGGAAACAUGUUCUGGGCGACCAGAACAUCCGGCCUGCACAAAAUGGGCCCCUCGGACUCUCCGCCCGCGGUGUGCUGCGCCCGUAAAUGGCACCGGCGGAACUCACCUACCGCCCUGCCACGCGUCGAAGCAAGCGAUAUUCACGAGGUGAAAUUUCCGGACCCACUUCUGGGCGCCCGGAACAUGGGAUCCGAAUUGGCUUCCAGUUUCAGUUAAAAUCAACACUCGUUUCUGGGCGACCCUAACAAUGUUCUGGGCGCCCGAAUCUGGCAAAACUCCAGUUUUGCUUAUUUGAGUGCGCCGAGUCCAAUUCUGCAUCCAAUUCGUGCAGAAUUGACUUCGACUCAGUCCGACACUCUCCAGAGAUGUCGACCAGUCUAUAAUACUGAAGCCAAUCCUAUCCAAAGCUCAGGAACACUACAUAUAUUAACUAUAAACAAAUAUAUUUGGUGGGUUUUCCUCACCCCCUCCUACCAAGGGUAUCUUGGUAAUUUAUUAUUAGUUGAAUAUUAAAAAUAAAUUUAUAUAAUUAAAUUAUAAAUAAUUAUGUAAAAUUUUAAAACUUAAUAUAAUUAGAUGAACACCCUACUAUCAACAAGAAUUAAAAUUUCUUAUUAGGCCUCAAAACUUUUCAAAAAAAAUUUACAGUAUAACAAAAUUUUUCAAAAUUUUUUAAGAAAAAGUAGUACUUUUUCUCUUUCCAUAACAAAAUUCAUUUAUUCGCAAAAUUUAAAAAACUUAUAGUCAACUAAUUAUUAUCUAGAUAUUAAUUAUAAUGUUAUAUAAUUAACUUAUAAAUAACUAUAAUGUUGAAAAUUAUUUUAAAUUAGAGCAAUUCUUAUUUUUAAUUUAAAUUCUCCAUAUCAUUUUAAAAAAUAUUUAAAAUUUUAAAAAAUACUAAACUUCAAUUAGUGUCUUAAUUAUAUAACCUUCAAUUACACUUUUGUACCAACAAAAUUUUAAAUUAAAAUGACGAAUUAUGAUGAUGAAGGUGAAAAAAAUACAGUGCAGCAGAAUUAAUUUAUGAAAACUAUUAAAACAAAGUUUAAAUAUGCAAAAUCAUAAAAUAGAUAAUAUUAUUUGUUGAAUUGUUUGAAGUUCUCUUUUUCCAACCAAAAAUGCAUUUAUUUAGAAAAUAAAAAAUAUUAAGUCACCUAAUUAUUAUCUAGAUAUUCAUUAUAAUGUUGUAUAAUUAAAUUAUAAAUAACAAUAAUGUAGAAAGCAAUUUUUUUUUAUUUUGUAGGUUCGUAUUUGAUUCGUAGUUUUAGUUGAUUUGACUAACCUAAAUCCUUUUCUCCAAUAAACAAAAAAACAAUCCCGAAAAGACCUUUGGAAUUCCCAAAAAAAAAGACUUUUGAAAUUUUCAAAAUUGCUUCGUUUUUUAUGCAUGACUUUUGGAUGACCGUGCUGUGUUGAAAACGAAAAGAUAAUAAUUUAUUAUCAUAGGGCUCUCAACACUAUAAAUACAUGGUUCUUGAAGUCUUAAGAGAUAAUUUUAGAUAUCUUUUAAUGCGUUGCACUUCUAACAGAUCACCAUCUUCUGUCAAACAAUUUUGUGAGAAAAUUUAACAACUGUGGAAGGUGACAUUAUCAAAAAGGUGAUUCAAGAUAGGCCUAUUUUAAUUGCAACUUCCCUGAAUGUACAAAACUUCAAAGGUAAAAAAUUUUAUAUAAUCAAAUAUGUGCUUCUGAUAUCAUAUUUUGCAAUCAUAAUAUUUAAGUUUUGAAUUUUUUCUCUAAUCAUCAGGCAUUUCACUUUCUACAACAUCAAAUACAAUGCUCAAAAUUAAUCCAUCAACAAAGGAAGCAAAGGAUUUAAGAGAAUGGUAAAUAUAAACGCAAUAUAUGAAUAAUUAACAUGUAUAUUAGUUACUAUUUAUUUCUUUGAAUGUAUAUUGUAGGAUUUCAAAAAGCUUAUUUAACACUGAUGAAAUGAACAAAAUACGAAAUAUGACGAAUACGGCCAAAAUGAAAAAUGAAAGAGCUACUAUUAAGGAGAUUACUGGAGAUCUUGUUAAUGCAUCUAAAUAGGUAUAUUGUUCUUUUAUUUGUAUACCAAAAAAUUAAAUUUUGAUGAUAUAUUAUUUCCAGUUAUGAGAGUUAAAAAUACAAGUGGUGGAGUUAAACAAAAAGCAAGAUCCUUGGUACAUGGCUUGUAAGGAAUUCUACAAGAAAAUUAUAGAAAUUAGUAGUGUUCAACAGUGCAAAUUCUGUCCCAAUUCAGAUACUGAUAUUGAAUAUAAGUAAUAUUAGCAAUAUUAUUUUCUUAUAUGUUAAAGUUAAAUAAAAAUCUAAGUGCUUGUUAAGUUUUUACAGGUUUAUGUUUCGUCUAAAAGUUGCUGAUGAUACUGGCGAGCUUUGAGUAUCAAUGUUUUAAAAGGAAGUGGGGCAAUUAUUGAAUUGCAACGUUAAUGAACUUCGGCAAUUAAAGGUACCACGUGUAUUAUAAUAAUACAAAAAAUAAUUUAAUAAAUUUACUUAUUAUUUGUCAUUCAAUUUUGCAGGAAUAUAAUAUUGACCAAUUUGUGAGGAAAUUAGAAAGUUGCUUGAAAAAAUCAUACUUACUAACUAUAUAUUAAAGUUGUAGAGGCCAAAAGAGGUGAGGUAAUUACUUACAACUACACAGGCAUAUCAAUUGAGGAACUUGAUGGACAAGAAGAUGAAUCAAUCGGAAACAAAAAUUUCCCUCAAAGUCAUAUUCAACAUGAUAUUCUUAAAGAUAAUGAAGAAACUAAAUCAACAAGAAGUCAGAAUUUUUCUCAAAAUUAUAUUCAGCGAAAAAUUCUUGAAGACGAUGAAGAAGCUUUAGUGAUGAAUAUUACCGAGUCAAAGUUUUCUCGCCUUCGGAAAAAAAAGAUGAUCAUCGAUGACGAAGACUAAGACAAUGGAAUUAGAAAGAACUUAACUCUUCUUUAUUUACUUCAUUUUGUUUCCGACUAUUGUCAUAUAUGGAUUCAUGCUUUUAUUUUGCUAUAUUAUCUAUCCAUAAUACUUCGUAUAUUUUGUUUAUGCUUCAUAAUAUUUAAUACUUUUCUUUAAUUUGAUCCUACUAUUUAAAUAUAUUAUUUAUUCAUUAAUUUGUUAAUAAUUUUAAUUAUAUUAGAAAGAAUAAUACGUGCAUCGCACGUGCACUGCCUAGUGUAUUGUACAAAAGUCCAUACCUUAUUUUUGGUAUCCAAAUUGACCAAUAUUUAAUGAGAUUUUGAUUUUAUCCUUUUAAUAUUAGUGUUUUUUUUUUGCAAUUAGCUCCCUAAAAAAAAUUUAUUUUAAAGCAAAUUUAAAUUUACAAAAAUGGCACUGGCCCUGCCACGUAAGCGCCACGUCAAUGCCAUGCGGGCGGGGCUGGGCCAGAUAGUUAAGUUAAACACGGUGAAUCAUUCACCGUGUUUAGAUACGGUGAAUGGUUCACCGUGUCUGAAGAAAGGGAAGGGAAAGGAAAAAUAUACGUAUUAUGAAAAAGAUAAGUAGGAAAAACGGUGAACCAUUCACCGUGUUUGAACAAGAUGAAUGGUUCACUGUGUUCAACUAACCGCCCAACCCACCCGCGUGGCGCUGAUGUGGCACCUGCGUGGCAAGGUUAAGGCCAUUUUUGCAAAUUUAAAUUUUCUGAGACUAUUUUUAAAAUAAAUUUUUUUUAGGAGGCUAGUUGCAAAAAAAAACCCUUAAUAUUAAUAUGUUUUGAUUUAGGUUAUUUCAGUGAGUCCUAUCAAAUUUUAAGGCUCUAACUACCAUUUAAAUAAAAGAAAAUAUUUCUUAUAGAUAAAUAUUGACCAAUAGUUAAUAGAGAUACUGAUUUUAAUAAAAGCUUUUAAUUUAAUUGUCUAAAAUAACUCAAAUCUAUAAGAAUCUAUAAAUUGACAGUUUUUUCAUGCCUAGGUGUUGUGUUCUAUAAAUUGACUGUUCUUCCAUACCUACGUAUCGCAUUCUCGCUUCUUCCAUACCUACAUCUAUCUAUAAGAAUCUAUAAAUCCAUAUCUACAUAUCGCGUUCUCACUUUUUUGGCACCAUUCAUACUUCCUCUCUCUAUCAUCUUCCUCCCUCUCUCUAUUAUCUUUCUACCUCUCUCUUUUUUGUCUCUCAUGCAGCGUUUCUAUAAGAAUUUAUAAAUCGACAGUUCUUUCAUGCUUACGUGUCGCGUUCUCGCUUCCCCUGGCACCAUUCAUACUCUCUCUCUCUUUAUUAUCUUCCACCAUCUCUCUAUAAUAUCUUCCUCACUCUCUCUAUUAUCUUCCUCUCUCUCUAUUAUUUUUCUCCUCUCUCUCUAUUGCCUCUCGCGCUACAACCAUAUCCUAUUCUCUCUCUCUCUCUAAGCUAUCCACAAUAAUCAUUUUUUCUUGUACCAACAAUAAUUACCUUCUCCCUACUACUUUAUCCCUAUCCAUAAUAAUUAUUUCUCUACGUACUUUCCUUAUUAUAUCUCUAACCCUAUCCACAAUAAUUAUCUCAUUUCUUUCUUUACUAUAUUUAGCUGUCUAUAAUAUAUCUUACAAAAUUUACCAAACUAAAAUAGGGCAUUCACACCACAUCCAACUCAAAACCGGCACCCCCUCUUCUCCAAUGGUUUGUUUUUCUCUUUCUCAACCCCACCCCGCCCUACGGCGUGCUUGCUGCUGUCCUCACCAUGUUUCGCUUCUGCUUUUAUGAUGCCGGCACGUGCUACAUCAAAAAAGAGGCUAGAGGUUGCGCAAAACUUUUUACAUUUAUUUUUUUUCCACCAAACUAAAUAAAUGUGAAUUUUUUUCUUUCAACCAAACAAAUGUUGAUGAAAAUUUUUUUUUCUUACGUUUCAAACUCUAUAAAAUAUAUAUAUUUUUUCCAUUAAAAUUUUUUCACAAAAACUAUUUUUUAUGAUUUUAUGUCCAACCAAACACCCUCUUAGGUGCUUUUUUUUUUAAGAAUUAGUUAUUUGCUGAUAAUUAUUCCUACUUAAUUAUUUAUCUGAGAGUAUCCUAUUUAUAUUAGAAUAAGUAUUAUUAUUUAUGUUUAAAUAUCAAAAUUUAUGUUUUCUUUCGAUGUGCACUUUUACUAAUCAAAAUAAAUUGUGACACCCUACUUUUUCAAGAGGUCAUCCAUCAUAGAACUACUCUAGCUCUCUAAUUUCUUAGGCCUAGCUACCGCCCAACAUACUAUAGCCGAGUUAGAAGGUUUAGUUUUAUUAUAUCGCUCCUUCACUAGUUAAAAUAAAUUGUAACACCCCACUUUUCAAGAGAUCAUCCAUUCUACAACUACUCUAACCCUCUAAAUCUUUUGGGCCCAGUGAACGCCCAAUAUGCUAUAACCGAGUUCGAAAGUUUAGUUCUAUUAUAUUUUAUAUGUAAGACUAUUUGAUAUUCUUGGAAUAUCACAUUCCUCCCUCAAAAGAAAAAAUUUAGGGUUCGCUUUCAGAAUAUGAGAUAGUUGAGGGGUCUUCGUACAUGUUUACCAAACCAAAACUAAAAAAACAAAAGAGAAGGAUCUUUUUGCAAAAAUGAGAGAGAGAGAGAGAGAGAGAGGCGAAGGGUGGAGGAGCAAAAAGUGGUGCGUGUGUGAGAGGCCGCAUUUGCGAUCGCAACGACGGAGAGAGGCGCAGCGCGAUGGACGCGAAAUCCCGCGACGCUCCGCCGCCUCCGCCGCCCCGCCAAGAGGAAAUCCUCCUCCUCCUCCUCCGCCGCCUCCGCCGCCGCCGCCGCCGCCCUCUUCUCCCCCUCCUCCUCCUUCUUUUCCUCCACCCCCUCCAAGCGCGUCGCCAAGGAGCGAAACCCUAUCCUCCACCACCACCUCCUCCCCCCGACCCACAACGGUCCCCUCACCCGCGCCCGCCAAUCCCCCAACAAGCUCGGCUCCGCAGCCACACCGCAUAGGCCACCGCCCCCGGAUCUGGCGGCGCCGCCAUCGUCGGAGCCGCUCGUGGACGCGGAGUUCGAUGCCGUCCGAUCUCGCGGCGCCGGUGUUCAUGUCGUCCCCACUUUCGCCGGUAAGUGCUCGGAUUUUGAUUCACGCUUCUUUCUAUUUUUGAACUUGUAAUUUCUUUAGGCUCUAGGGUUUUCCAUUUGUUUUGCUGUUAGUACGAACAAAAGGUUUGGUGCUAAGUCGUUCUCAAUUUUACGUGCACUAAAGAAGAGAUUCUAACAUGCUCAGGAUGGUUUUCAUGGAGCGCAAUCCACCCAAUUGAGAAGCAAACCCUAGCUUCAUUUUUCAACGGGAAAUCCGAGAAACGGACACCUGAGAUUUACCUUGAAAUAAGGAAUUCCAUCAUGCAAAAGUUUCACGCCGACCCGAAUGUUCAGGUGGAACUGAAAGACUUCUCCGAGCUAUCCGUAGGUGAUGCGGAUGCCAAGCAAGAAGCCUUUGAGUUCUUGGAUCACUGGGGUUUGAUAAAUUUCCACCCUUUCCCGCCGUCCGGGACCAACGACAGCAAAUCCGACGGUGAUAAUGGGGAUGAUAAGAUGUCCUCGAUAGUUGGUAAGCUUUAUCAAUUUGACACGGUUCAAUCGUAUAUUAAUUCGGCUCAUAAGAAAGCAGAGCCCACUAUGCCGGCUCCACCACCUAGCUUGAUCUCCGAGACAGCCCUAGCUGAUGCUUUGGUUAUUACGCUCGAGCCUUCGGUUGAGUAUCACUGCAAUUCCUGCUCAGCUGAUUGCUCACGCAAGCGCUACCAUUGCCAAACGCAGGUGAGCUCUUUAAUGGUUCUUAUGUUCACUUUUGAAGAGGAACUUGUUUGCUAGAUUAGAAUAUUGACUCUUUAGAAACUCCAGAAUCGAGCUUAGUUUUGUACAAAACUGGUUGGCCCUGUUCUGUUUGAAUUUUUUUAAGUGAUCGAAUGGAUUUCUGAUAUACAGGUUUAUAAUCAAAUAGUGUCCAUGAAGUUCUGUAUCUUUAUGCUGUCAAACUUACUGUGCUACCUAGGGUUAUUACUGUUGUCUAUAUACAUCUUAUUUUGAGAUAACUAAUUGUAAGUUUGAAAUGAUUUAAAUGUGCAUGCACUUCAGCAUAUCACUUGGUGAUUUAAAUCUUCUUCUAUGCUUCUAUAUAACUUGUCGUAGUCAUAAAUUUUAAUUUCAUGUUAAAGUAAGUAAAAUGUUGAAUAUAAACUGAUUGUACUUAAAAAGAAAAAAGAAAAAUAUGGAUUAAUAUGCCAGACUUCUUAAAGUGUUAUUUCUUCUUUCUGAAAAGAUUCAGUAUUGUAGAAAUCUUAAGACAUUGUAACAACAUGGUUAAACUUUAUUGGAUGAUCUUUCAAAAACUACAGAUUUUAUUGUUGUUACGAUUGGUAUUACACUAAUUGGAUGGAGAUACCUCAUUCGGUAUUGCUUGGACAGUCUUAUUCUUUGAUGAAAACAAGUACUGAAGAACGUGGUAGAAUAAGUGGUUAACGUAUUCUCUGCAAAUAUCUUCCUAUGUCACUUUGCGUACGUAUAUCUUCCCGCUGUGAUCCUGUUUUAAAAAGUUUGAGAGAAGUUUGGAGCUUCUUUUGGGGCCUAGAAGCUCAUUUUAGCUUCCCUCUAUGGCUGAAGUUUUAGAGUUUUUGUUUGCCAAAUGUGUGGUAAUGUUUCUCGGGGUAGAGAAGAUAUUAUAAAAGUCGUGUGAUAUAGGAACUUGGCAGAGAAGGUUCAGUAAUAGUUUCUUAUGCUGUUUUCUGUUAAUUUCUCAGGCAGGUUUUGAUUUAUGUAUCAAUUUCUCAGGCAGAUUUUGAUCUAUGUAUCGACUGCUUCAACGAAAGGAAGUUCGAUCCAGGCAUGUCACCAGCUGAUUUUAUUCUUAUGGGACCUGCAGAGGCUCCUGGUGCUAGUGGUGCUAACUGGACUGAUCAGGAGACCCUGCUUCUUCUGGAAGCCCUUGAACUAUUUGGAGAGAAUUGGAGCGAGAUCGCUGAGCAUGUUGCCACAAAAACCAAAGUCCAGUGUAUGCUACACUUUCUGCAAAUGCCCAUUGAAGACUCCUUUUUGGAUGGCGAUGAUGAAAUUAAUGAAUCUAUUCAAGAAAAAGCAGAAACCACUUCUGCUGAUAAAGAGUUGGCUUCUACAACUGUUCCUGAGAAAAUGGAAGUUGAAAACCAAGUAGAAGAAAAAGAAAAAGAAGAAGAAGAAAAAAAAGAAAAAGACAGCGAAGAUGAAAAAGAAUCUUCAGAUGUGAAAAUGUCUGAAAAGAUAGAAGGCGAAAAUACUGGAGGAAAAGAAUCGGAUGCUAUUAAUCUUCCUGACAAUAAGGAUGUCGAAAACUCAGGAAAAGCAGAUUUGCCUAUCAAAUCCGACACAGAUGAUACAGAGAAGAAAAAUACGGAUAAUAUUUCUAGUGAAAGUGCUUCUGACAGUGCUGUUGAUGCAUUAAAGUUAGCAUUUCAGGCUGUUGGUUUCUUUUCUGAAAACGGAGAGUUGGGUUCAUUUGCAGAAGCAGGAAACCCCGUGAUGGCCUUGGUAAGUAAAGUCAGUUUGACGAAGACCCUAUUUGUAUUUGGUCUCGCUGGAGUUCUACAAGUGCUGUUUGAGUAGAGCUAUAUGGAAAUGCACUAAACUGUUCAAUUCAUCAAAAUUUCUUUGAUAGCUUCCCUUUGUAGCACAAGUGGAAGCUUCAAACUGGAUUCUUGGUCUUGGGGUUCAGAAGGUCUUCUUCAGCUUUCCGACAUAGCAAUAGCUCCAAACUUUUUGUAUGGUGCGACACUUGGCUGUUGCUUGUUAGAGUAGAGAAGCUAUUCCAAACUCGAGCCAAAUGGGCUUGAGAUGCAGCUACCUUCGAAGUGGUUUUGCAUUGAUUGUAAACUUGCUUAGUUUUCUUUGCUUUGCAGGCAGCUUUUUUAGUAGCUCUAGUGGAACAUGAUAAUGCCAUUACUUCAUGUCGUAGUUCACUAAAAGCCAUUUCAGAGGAAUCUCCUGCUAUCCAACUAGCUACAAGACAUUGCUUUAUUCUUGAAGAUCCACCUGGUGAUAUGAAGAGGUUUAUAGUCUUUCUGCUUAUAAUUGCUGUCUCACUUGAUAACACCGUUGCAGUUUGUGCUGUUCUUUUUUCGUAAAAAAAUUUCUUCUUAUUAAUUCAAUUAAAUUUACAGCAAAAUUGCAAGCAAGGGUGCUGAGUGUCAAAAAGAUGAAGAUCAAACACUAAGUUUGAAUGGCACUGAUAAAUUGAAGGACAGCAAAGAACAGAGUGAGGAGAAUGCUCUUUCUCUUGAGAAGAAAAUGGAUCCAUCUGCGUUAACAAAGGGUGAACUGAAGCUGCCAGAUGAGAAGGUAUUGGGUAAUGAAGGCCCUUUGUCGGAGGCAGCAGUGAACAACAUUAGAAGUUCUGGUGAUCAGAAGGAUGCUACUGAUGCCAAUUUACCAGCAGUUCCUCCAACAAAUAAUACAAAAGAAUCGGUUGUUUUAGAUUCACGAGAAGCUGCUGAAAGUGUGGAGAAGAAGAUGAAUGACUUGAAGUCGGUAGGAGAGGAGAAACCACUUAAUGUAAAGGUGGGCGAUUUAGAUUCACAGGACAAGGGCGAGAUAGAUACAUUAAAGAGUAAAGAUACUGGAGCUGCGCCGGCUGCCAAUGGGGAACAAGAGUCCAAGCAAACAAGUGAACCAGGUUCUACAUUACAAAAGAGGGAGGAGGCUGGUAAGUGUCUUCAGCUUCCUAUCUCCAGCUUUGUAUGGCCAAUUAAUGGAAUUUCUAUUAUAGAUUUCUGUUUUCUCAGGCAAUCAUGUUGCAGUUCUAUAUUUGAAGUUACAUAAGUGAGUUAUUUUUUAUUGAUUGGCAAACAAGUGCUUAGUAAUAACCUUGAAGUUACGUAUAGCAAAAUUUAUACAUGCGUUUUUCAUUUAUGUAUUCAUGAUUAUGUCUCAUAGUUCAGAUAACAAAGGCAUAUAGUAUUGUAUCAUGUUUUUAUAAACUUUAAUCCAAUACUUGCUGACUUGUUUUGUAAAUCAUUUUCUACACUGUUAACCAUGUGAGAACUACGAAUGAACUGUUCGAAACUUUCAACCUAGUUUAUGCUUAGGAUUGGCUCAUGCAUCUUUCGUGAGAUGUGCUUGGUUCCUUUUCAUGACGUUGGCUUAAGGGAUUCAUUUAUAAGAUGUUAAGGUGAAAGCUCUGGCAUGAAGGCUGUUAGGAUCUUUCGAUCUCCUCAUGGAGGUCUCUUCUUUUCAAAGGGAAGGAGUGCCUUCUAUCCCUUCUUCAAGGGGGAGGGUUUCUAAAGAAAAAUAGUAGAACCAUACUAGUGGCUGUUCCUUAUGGCUUAAUAUUCUCCCAGCUCAAUACAAAAGAGAGAAAGAAUGUGCCUGUUUGUUGAUCACACUGCAUGACGAGUUCCUAUCCUAAUACAACUCCGCAUGGAACCACGUGGCAUAAUAAAAUUUAUAAAAGCUAUGGAUCAGUUAAGCAGAACUCUUGGGUUUGAAAAAUUUACGAUCAGGCAGCUGAUCUUGUCAACUUCCCUGUAGUCAGGCCGGUUUAAAGUGAGGUGGUUUGUGCCAAACCCCGUGUCUUGAAGCUCGCCUUGUCUCAAAGGUGUCUUCUGAUGGUAUUCCUUGUUAAGAUUCCAUGAUGAUUUCGUCCUCAAUUAAUUGUAUAAAUUAGAGGACUGGCAGUCGCUUUAGAGUGAUGUUAUCGUAGAGGUAAUGCAAUUCUAAUAUGGGUUUGAGAUUUAUGUGUUUUUGAUUACCAUUGGUCUCUUAAAAUGAAUCUGCUGUAGUGGAAGUGGUAAUUUCUCAAUCAAAGCGAAUCCUUAAACUUGAUCUGAUUCAGCAUCUCUUAUUCUUUUGAUUCAGAAUCAUCUUUUGUUUUGAACUCUGCUUUUUCACUACUACUUUGCAUUAUCAUUUCUGGUUGUGAUGUGGGGUUGACAAGUUUGUAUAGUAAAAGGCUUGCGGUGGUCUCUUUGGGAUUGCAUGAUAAAGUAGAGAAAAAUACUAAUUGUGUUGAAUAUGCACGAUCCGGACCUAAGUAUUUACCCAUCAAAAUUUGGAACAGUCCAAUUGAGCAGAUGCUUCUAGUGGUUGACUUGUCUGCCUAUUUCUCGAUUGAUUGAAAAUUUUCCUGCUUUUCACUUGUAUACCUUCGUAAAACUAAAUUUUCUAUAUAUAAUAUGAAAAGUGCAAGUUCCUAGAAAAACACCUUUAACUUUGGUUGGGCAGUCAUCCAUCCAGUUCACGAGAUGACGUUGGUCUUGAAUUGGAGAAUGAAAAUUCGAAAAAAGCAAUAUUUCUGUCAGUUCAAAGGGAUAUAUGUAAGAAACUAAGUUUUUGAUGGUACACAAGUAAGAAACUAAGUUUCUGAAGGGCAUAUAUGAAUAUUCAGAUCUCGCAACUGUAUAUAUGUACUUUUAUAUCUGUAUAUAUGUAAAUAGUUCUUUCCUUUAUGUGGAUAUUGUUUUAGCUUUACUGAAUUUAUUAUCAGUUAUAAUGUUUGUGGCAUGCAACUCUUAGGAUUCUGCUUCUUUUGCUGAAAACAGCUGGACCAUUCAUGUUACUGAGGAGUCGCCCAUAUUUGCUUUUUUUUUUUUUUUUUUUUUUUUUUUUUUUUUUCUUUCUUGGUUUCCUUUAUCUUGCAGGUGAGGGAGAUAAAAAAGAAGUCGCAUCCACUGAUGACAAGAGUGCCAACUUGGAUUCAAGCCAUGGUAAUUAUGCUCUAAUUAGGUUAAAACGUGCUGCAGCUACUGCUCUUUCGGCGGCUGCAGUGAAUUCUAAGCUUCUUGCAAAGCAGGAGGAGGAACAGAUCCAGCAACUUGUCUUAUCAAUUAUAGAAAAACAGGUAUUUUAGCAAUACGUUGAAUCGAUGAUGAAUCACUCUAAUUCAAGGAUAUCAUGGGAUUUUAAACAACUGAGAUAAAUGGGAGUCAGAUUUAUCUUACGAUAAAACUUCUCUGUUUAGGGAGAGGAGUUGGGGUAAAUUGCACCAUAGCUCCUUUUACAAUCAUUUCAGUUUGGUCCUCAGCCUUUUAUAAAAAGCAAUUGGGUCCUUGAACUUCUUAAUUUUUUGCAAUUGUACCAUUUUGGCUGAAUUCCUCCAUCAAAAUGGAUAGAAAUAUACAUGUAAUUGUCAUCUUAACAUAAGCGAUUUUUGAAUUUCUCAUAUCGCGAUUAUGUGGGCAUUUCCAUCCAGUCUAUGGAAUUUGAUGAACAGGGUAAGGGUGCAACGGAAUUUAUCUGAUUGCAGCAUAUGAAAGGUUGAGGACCAAACCGGUACCUCCUAAAAAGGUUGCAGCACAAUCCCCCUCGACCGUAGGCCAUUUUGAAAUCGACCUCUCAACCUUAUUUCUUUUUUUCCAUUUACACCUUUUCAACUGUUGCUUAUUUGGAUCUGUGUUUGAUCUGUUGAUUCGAUUAUUUGUUAAAUUCAACAGUUGUCAACUGUUAACUAUUAAUAGAACAAAUCAGCUACAAUUUCGUUGCUAAAAGACAGGCAAAUUUGUUACAUUUAGGGCAAUUGGUGUUAAUUUAACCCUAUACUCAAUUCAAUUACUGGAAAUAACUCAAAUUAAAGAGACAGUGCCAAUCGAAAAGUAGAAAAAAAGUUGAGAACUUCCCUUCAGAUAUAACCUAGGGAUCUCCUUACAUUUUAUCUUCUUUUUUUUUUGUGGCAAUUAGCUAAAGGCAUACUACUACUGUUAAUGGCUGUGUUAUAUGUGCAGUUUCAUAAAUUGGAGUCUAAAUUGGCACUCUUUGCGGAUCUUGAAAACAUAAUCCUGAGAAUAAGGGAACAAACAGAAAGAACUAAACAAAGACUUCUUCACGAACGCUCGCAAAUAAUUGCUGCUCGACUGGGUCUGCCUGCGCCAUCUUUUAGACCUAACCCAACUUCUGUACCGCCGGGCAGAUAUCCAGCAGGCUAUGGGAUGCCAAGCACAAAUUCAUUAAACGUGGUCGCUCAAAAACCGCCUGCUAUGAGAAGGCCAUGAAGUAUGUCUUUUUUCUAAGUACAUUGAAGCUCAGCACUUUGUAAAGUAUUGCUGAUGAUAUCAUAUUGCUCACAUAGUAAGUAGUUCUUAAUCGCUGAUUUGGUUGAUAACAUAUACGGAUAGCUAACUCUUGCUUUUUACUUGACUAACGCGUUAAAAAUUUUCAGGAGUCAGCAUCAUCAUUCUUAAGUGAAGGUUUUGUGCUGAUAUGCACUGUGCUGCCUAUGAACUAAAAUGUUCUUAUUGUUAGUUUGAAGGAUUCUUGUUUUUGCCCCUUGUACAUGACUCAGAAGCAAAUUCACCGAGCUAGAAUGUUGUUUUACAGUGGGUAAGCCAUUUCACCAUGUAAGCAUUGGUCCUUUUUAAUGAAAAUCCAUUUAGGCUCCAUGAGCUCUAUUUUAGUAAGAAUUGAUUGCAUAAACUCAAUUUAUAGGUCCCAUGAUAUCUCUACUUUUUUUCAAUUCUUUAAUGUCUUAGUUGUUGCUGUUAUACUGACAGUUUUUCUAUACUCAACUUCAGCUGCAAGCUCCAAAAGAUGCUUGCCUACUUCUAUUUUUAUUUAUUUUACUUUUGAGAGGGGAACCUUUUUUUUUUUUGGUUGGGGCCGCAUUUGUGGUGGGGGGGGGGGUGGUCAUAAUUAUAUAUAUUCAAUCCAAUCAUCUAUUUACAGUUUUAUAUUUACAUAUAUACCUUUUUAUGUGCUUACAAAAAUAUCUUUAGUGGGGAGUCCAAUUUAUGGACGGAAGUUGGAUUAAAUGAGCUUUUCUAACAAGGGUUGUUCUGAGGUGCAAGGGUGUCUCAGAAACUAUGUUUUUUGGUGGGCAUCUUUGUAAACCCAGAUCUAACAGGGUAUGCAUGUAAAUGGAUAAUUUUUCUGGGGCAUAUAUAGAAAUAUCACCUUUUCUUCUCUAGUUCAGUUGAGCAUUUGACUCCGUAGUGAAGUGAAUCAGUGAUUGCGAGGAUUAUUUUCUUCUUUAGCAAUAUCUUGUUUACUGUUUUAGUGUUUGCCUUCUCUUAUGAGAAACAGAGAAGGCCAAUCUUUCCUUGUUUAAGAGGAUUUAGAAUGCUUUAGUAGAUAAUUUUUAGCAGGUUGGCUUUUGCCAAUUUGUUAAAUCUAUCUUCAAACUUGAGGCUCUUCAGUUGGAAUGUUGUUGGAGUUUGAGUAGUGUAGAUAUCGUAGUUGUCAAUAUUUGAACGUUGAUACUUUAAAGUUUAAACUAUGCAAGAUGCAGGCCUAGUCAGUUGAAAAUCUUCUUUAUUGUGUUUGUAUUGUUUUUGUUUUUCUCCCCCCUACAGUUAUGGCUGGCAAACUCUGGUUCUUGAUCAUAGCUGAUCUUAAAUUUGUUUGUAAUGUGUCUAUUCAUCAGUUGAUAAGAUUCUCUUUGCAAUCAUUCAGAAAGGAUUUUUCAACUGUUUUUCAUUAGGUUGUUCAGAAAAUAAACAUGAACGUGACAAAGAAAGAUGCCUAAUCUAAUAAUCUUUCCUGUGCGACACCCAUUUUUGUUAUUUUAAAUAUGGUAUCCUUUGAAAUUCUUUUUGUUUGUUUAUUUUCAUUUUCCCUUUACCGUCUUGUUUUAAGUACGGAUAGUGAAAGAUCUAUUGUAUGAAGAUCCUUUGAGUAUAUCUGUUGACAUGUUUUUUGUGGUAGUAGUGUUUGGGAAAAGACCUCGAUUAGUAAUAAACUUUGCUUUGGUCUUCAUGAUAUUCAGCUGCAAUUGCUUUCAAUGGUAACGCAACUCAGAUCAUCAACAUCAGAUCAUCAACAUCCUUUUAUUAUUAAUGGUACUGCUAGCCAUGUUCUUUCUCCAUGGACUGUAGUUUUCAUUUUGGAUUUGUUGUAAUGGUGGUGAAAAGACAGUUUUGAGCUCCGGCUCGGCUCUACUUGGUUUUCUGAGCGGAAUUGCACUAACUUUUAACUGUCUAAUAUGCAUAUCAUUUUAGUUCCUUAGGUCUCUAAUAUUCUCUUAUAAGAAAUGUCUUUGUAUUUAUAUUCUUCACAGUAGCAUAAUGUGGUAAUGAUGUUUGCUGGAAUGCUCUGUUUCCACUUAAGAUCUGAUCAUAAGGGUUUUACGAAAAAUGAAAUAUGGAGAUUGUUGGAAGAUUUGUUAUGUUUUGUUUGCUUUUGAGUUUUUGGUUUUAGUUUGAUUUUGGGUAUGCCAGGGAAUGAUGGUAUAUGAAAAGGACUGAAAUUUUCUGCUAUUUUAUUUAUUUAUUUACUGAUUCAAUUGUCUGUUUAUUCACUGUUCGCUGAAGAUUUGUAGUUACAUUUGCUUGAGAAGUGACUACUUUCAGCUUGAGAAGCUUUUGGUUUUAAAUUGAUUUCGGGAUUCAAAUUUUAAAUUUAAAUUUUUAUAUUGGAUUAGAAUUUUAAGUUUAAAUACGAAUUUGGAAUUUAAAUAUACAUUCUGUACUUAAUUUUAAAUUUUAAUUUUGAUUUCGAUUGUACUUUUAAUUUUAAAUUCAGUUUAUAUUUAAAAUCAUUUUCUAAAUUUAAAUUUAGACUUUAAUUUGUUAUUACAAUAAUUAAUGGGACCACUAUAUUAAAUUUAUAUUUUUUAAUACACUUUUUACUGGUUUAUAAUAAUUUAAUAAAAUUCUUACCAAAAUAGCUUUGUAUAAUAAAUAGCAGUUUUGACAAAAAUAGCUAAAUGUUAUGCAUUGUUUUUUUUUUUUUUUUUUUUUUUNGGAAAAUGAGUCCUACCUCUACUUUUAGAUGUAAAAUUGAAGUUAACAUUUUUUGAAAGCUACCGACCGUCUCUAGAGUAAGUGGCAAAGGGUUUGGUGGUUGGUAUCCGAGAUCCAAGUUCGAAUCCUAGUUGAUUCACAUUUUCAGCUAAUUUUAUUUCUAAGUGAAAUAAACAAAGCGGGUAGCGUGCUAUCUAUCUCUCAAAAAAAAAAAAAAAUUUUUUUUUUGAAUUUUUUUUUUUUUUUUUCUUUUCCUCUCCUCUUAUUAUGAGCUUGUGAAACCUUUUAGACAAUGUUGGGGGCGUUUACUUUCGCACGCAUAAAAAGAAUGCUAUAUUCAUUCUAUUGGUGUGGCCCAAGCUUUCGCAUUAAAACUGACCUAAAAGCAGAAAAAAAAAGAAAAGAAAAAGAAAAAGCAAAAGAAAAAGAAAAAUAAGUGAGCAAGCAUUUAUAUGUGAGACUUGCAUUGAAACCAUUUUGCCAAAUGGAUCGUUUCGAAUGUACUUUUCUUUUCCCCCGUUAUGUGAUUGCUUAAUCACUGUAGAUUAAAACUCAACAAUGGUUGAAGGGGGAAAAGAAAUGUGUUUGAGCAACUUGUAAUUAAUAACUUCUAUAAAGAGCACCUCGGGGUGUUCGGUUCCCCAAAAUUGCAUAGAAAUGAAAAAUAAAAAUAAAAAUAAAUAUUUUUAGAUUUUUUUUUUUUAAAAAAAAAUCUAACUGAGCUAGAGAAUUUUAUUUGUUAGAAUGAGGCGCAAUUCAAAAACCUAAUUUUAUUUAUUUAUUCAUUAUUAUUAUUAUUAUUAUUAUUAUUGGGAAGAGUUGUUGCCACAAAUAAAACAAAAAGCAGUCAACGGUAUGGGAUGGUUCCGCGCGAGGGCCCCAACGCCCCCCCUCCAUGAAUAGCCAAACUAUCACCAAAUCUAGAGAGAGAAAAAAAACACCCUAACUAUAGAGAUUAGAGAAGAAACAACAUCUAGAGAGAGAAACAGUUAGAGAGAGAGAAGAGAGAGACCAGCGAGAGAGAGAGAGGGGUAGGAGAGGAGGUGGUGGUCCCCUCCUCUCUUCAACCCCGUCCCAAAUUAAAAAAAGUACAAUCUUUUUUUCUCUAAUAUCUAUUUUGUGUUUCCUUUUUCCUCUCUUGUCAUUUCCUUAUGAUAAUUUUUCAGGUAGUGAUUAUUUCUCUACGAGAGAAGCAGAAGUUGGCGUAGUCGGGGGCGGCGCCGCAUCAAAGAGGGUGGAGUUCUCUCUUUCGCCGGAGAAACUCCAUCCUCCCGAACGCAUAUAACUAAACCAUACAUAAAAGUACAUUCAGAUACAAAUCAUGGCGUCCUCUCCGGAUGCCGCUCCGGCCCCCAACUCCUCCUCCUCCUCCUCGUCCUCUCCACCACCACCACCACCACCACCAUCCAACUCCUCCUCGCCCCCUCCCUCUCCACCCCCACCCUCUCCUUCGCCCUCGCCUCCGCCGCCGCCCCCGCCCUCCUCCUCCUCCCCACCUCCGGCAUCGACGCCGCCUCCGUCGACCCCCUCAACUCCGCCCAAUUCAUCGAACAAGCCAUCGCCGCCGCCGAAAGCUACGCCGUCGCAAACGCCUCCCUCUCCUAGUAGUUUCAAAGAACUGCCAUUGCCAUUGCCAUCAUCGCCGCCGCCGCCGCCGCCGCCGCCAGCGCCAGCGGCUUCCAGAGCUGCUGCGUCGAAGAAGGCUGCGCCUUCGCAUGCGUCGCCGGACGACAGCGGCAGCGGCAGCGGUGGCGGCGGGGGGUCGGAGUUGAAUCUGCCGAUGAUCAUCGGGGUGGCGGCCGGGGUCGGGGUGUUCUUCAUCCUGAUGAUGGUGGUCGCGCUCGUGUGCUGCGCCAGGACGAAGAAGAAGAAGAAUGCACUGCCGCCGCAUAACCACCUGCACUACUACGAUAACUCGCAACGCAAAGGUAUUGUUAAAUAUAAAAUUAUAUAAAUACUGUUGUCUAAAGGCUUAAACUUUUAGAGUACAAUGAUUAUUUCACAUGUAUUUUAUAUAUAUAUAUAUAUAUAUAUAUAUAUUCUCUUAUCAUAUGUAGCUAGGGUGCCUUCUUUUUAAGUUUUUUUUUUCGUAAAAAUGCAAGAAAAAAAAAAUUAUAAGAGUUGAGCUCAAAAUGCGCUUAGUUUUUAGCCGUCUGAUUGUCUCGUAAUUCGUAUAAUACUAAUAAAAAAAAUUUAAUAAAAUAUAUUAUUAUUAGUGCUCUACGAAUCUUAAGGCUAAAAAUUCACAAAUACAAAUAGUCAUUUGUUUCGAAAAAAAACACAGAAGCUCAACUCAAAUUAUAAUAUACCUUCUUCUAGUUUAGCGUAUUUUUUUAUUUGCCAUCGCAUUUAACUAAUAUGUAUUUUAAUAUACUUUAAUUUGCCAUUACGUACGUGAUUAAUUAUUAGAAAAUUUUAUUUUAGUUUUACUAUAACGGCCUACCGUUUAAUAGGAUACUAUUUUAUGAUUUUUUAAAAUUUACUUUGCUAUCUUAUUUGACAAUAAUUUUUUUUUUGAUAAAACAAAAAUAAAACUAUAUUUUAAUUAAGUACAAACAUGAUAAAAUAAAAAUGCGCCAAACUAAAAAAAAUUGAAUUGUAAACCUAGCAUUCCUCUUUGAGAAUUAUGAUGUCAACGCACGAAACGGUUGUAUAUAUUUACAGGGAACGACUACUACCACGCCUCAUCUCUCCCUAAAUGGCAGCACAACGGAUCCCAAACCUUCGACCCCACCGGCGGCGGCGGCGCCGCCGUCCCGCUGCCGCCCCCGCCCGGCGGCGUCGGUUGGAGCCCUCACGGGCUCUCCCCGCCGCCUGGCGCAGCACAUCACUUCCACAUCAGCGACACAGGCUCAGGGCCAUACAACGACAACUCCGGCCCCCACGGCGCCCCGCUCCCGCCGCCGUCCCCGUCCGUCGCGCUCGGCUUCGUGAAGAGCACGUUCUCGUACGAGGAGCUGGCGGCGGCCACCGACGGCUUCUCGGCGGCGAAUUUGCUCGGGCAGGGCGGGUUCGGGUACGUGCACAAGGGGGUGCUGCCGAACGGGAAGGAGGUGGCGGUGAAGCAGCUGAAGUCGGGCAGCGGGCAGGGCGACAGGGAGUUCCAGGCAGAAGUAGAAAUUAUUAGUAGAGUGCACCACCGGCACCUCGUCUCGCUCGUCGGCUACUGCAUUUCGCAGACGCAGAGGAUGCUCGUCUACGAGUUCGUGCCCAACAAGACGCUCGAGCACCACCUCUACGGUAAAAUUAAUUAACCCUUCAACAACAAUUUUCUCGUUACUAACUUUUGUAGCAUAGUGGUUAAAAAUUUUACUUACUAUUUUAGAAGGUGCAAAAAAAAAUAAAAAUAAAAGCGCUUUUAAUUUUUCAUCCUUUAUUGUUAUAAUAAAACUAGUGUAGUUAAUUAUCCGAGCGAUACGACGGGCAAAUAUUAUUAAAGUCACCGUUGAUAUUGAUGAUAGUAUGAAGUUAUAUAUAUAUAUAUAUUUUGAAAAAAUGCGACAGGAAGAUGAAGGAAAAAAGAAAAAGAGGCAUAAGAAGAAAAAAUGACAGAUCUCGGAUAUAUAUAUAUAUAUAUAUAAAAUUCUAUAUGAGUCCGGCUACUAUACUAUUGAUAGUAUCAAGUCCUUGAUACUAUUAAGUUUUCUGCCGUUAGAUCUACCCUUUGAUCAUUUUCACCCGUUAGAUUAUACUAUUAAACCAACCACCCACUCAACCCUAGGGGACCACUAUCAAUUUAACCGGGAACUACUAUCAUCCUAACCGCACAUCUUUUCAUCCAACGGCCGAAAACUCAAUAAUAUCAAGGGCUUGGUACUAUUGAUAGUAUAGUAGCAUAUAUAUAUAUAUAUAUAUANNNNNNNNNNNNNNNNNNNCUGAGCUAGGCUGGUAUACUAUCGGUAGCACGGUGGCCUCCGUGCUACCAAGUUGUUUUCAAUGAUGCCGCUUCCAAAUCGACGAUCGGCUCCGUUAGACUUGAUCUACACUACUGAAAGUAUUUGAAAACUAAAUUUCAUAAUUUUUCGGCAUUAUUUACCUAUCAAACGAGUAGUCUAAAAAUGAACGGCUAAAAAACAAAAUUUCCUAAAAAAUGAUGAUAAAAGACUUGAAUUUAAGAUCAGAAGUACUGAUUUUACUCUAAAUAGUGAAAAGAAUUUUCUAUAAAAAUUUCAUCAGGUUUGGAUUAUUUUACACCGUUAAAUUCACAAGUGCAUCACAUCUACCAUUAAAAUUAUUAAUUUUGAGACCUUUUGAUCACUUGCCAAAUGAUGUCAAAAAAUUAUGAAAUUUAGUUUCCAAAUAUUUUUAAUAGUGUAGAUCAAGCCUAACGGAGCCGAUCGUCGAUUUGGAAGCCGCAUCAUUGAAAACAACUUGAUAGCACGGAGGUCUCCGUGCUACCGAUAGUAUACCAGCCUAUCUCUCUCUCUCUCUCUCUCUCUAUAUAUAUAUAUAUAAAAGAAAAAAAAAAGUUGAUUGAAGGUGAGCGGCCUCUACAUUAACAUUACAAAGUGAGAUUUCAUAUAUAGAUAUAGAAGAUUAUUAUUAUAUAUUAAUUUUCUCGUGAUUUUUGUUAUCAUAAUUUUAUAGUAUAAAAUAUGAAAAGAUUAAAAUUAUAUUAAAAUAUUUUGGAUAAUCUAAAAUAUAGAAAUAAUGCUUUUAGCUAUCACAUUAUCAAACUAGCUAGACCUUACUGAUACUGAUGACACGCUUGACACGACAAUAGAAUAGCUACAUAUAUUGUUUUGAGCUGACAUUAGAUUAUCGGGAUAUAUUUGCGGGAUCGCAGAGAAUCUACAAAGCAAUCUCUAAUUAUUUAUAAUAUUGUAUCCUUCAAAAUAGGCUCUUAUAUUAGCAUUAUAAUAAAGAAUAAUAAGAUGUUACAAUAUUAUAAACCACUUAAUUAGCUAGGCUUAGUAUAGCACUUCAUCAAUUCAUUAUUUUUUUUUCCACUUUAUUAUUCUAUAUAUAUAGUUUAUUUAUUAUUGUGUUCAUUAAAAAAAUGCACAGGAAAGGGUCUCCCAGUGCUGGACUGGCCAACACGACUCCGGAUCGCAUUGGGAUCUGCCAAAGGGCUUGCUUACUUGCAUGAAGACUGUGAGACCUCUUCAUUAACUCUAAUUCUUUAAAUUAAACCUUCUUUUUUUUCGCCUCGUAUAUUUAUUUAUAGGCUAAAUUACAGAUAAUCUCCUUAUAAAUAAGUACGUGAGAUAUAAUUAUUAGAUGCUUUGUUUCUUUUUCUUUUUCUUUUUUUUUUUGAGAGAGAUAGGUAGCACGCUACCCGCUCCGUUUGUUUCAUUUAGAAAUAAACUUAGCUAGAAAUGUGAAUCAACUGGGAUUCGAACUUGGGUCUCAGGUACCAACCAAGUCCUUUGCCAGUUGCUCUAGGGACGGUCGGUUAUUAGAUGCUUAUUUUAAUGACGAGCAUGCUGAUGAUGUAAUUUUAUUUAGUGCUAUUUGUAUAUAGCUCUCUAUAAGCAUAUCGAAUAGCAGAUAUAUUUAUAUAAAGUUCAACUUUUUAUUUUUAUCUCUAGAAAAGUCCUAGUGUUUUUUCAAAUAUACUCUUAACUGUUAGGAUCCGUUAGAAAAGUAUAGUUAGUCAUAGAUAAAAUACUUAAUUCUGAUUAGUGAAUGAGAUAAAUAAUUUUUUUUUUUUCUAUUAUAGAAACUAAGAAGAUAAUUUUUUAGAGGAUAUUUUUGCAUAUUCUAAUAGUUGGAAAUUUUAGAGGUACAUAUCUGUGAUGAGAAAAAUAUCAUUUUACUAAUCUGCUACUCUAACGUACGUUAGCAAAUCAUAGGGCACAAAUAUGAAUAUCACUGUAUUUUUGUAGGAACAAAAAUAAAAAAUGAAACUUUGUGUAGGAAUUUAUUUAUUAUUCGAUAUGUUUACAGGAAGCUAUAUACAAUUAGCCUCUUUAAUUUAAUAUUAAUUUCUUAUGUUAAAUAAUUUGAUUCGGUCUUUGGACGUUUCGGGUAGGGAUUUUUAGCUUUUUUUUUUUUAUUCUAAGUUUCGAAUUUUUAUUCGGGUUCAGUUUCGGAUUAUACAAAAAUCCAUAAUAUGUGCUACAUUAUUUGUUCCUUUACUGUAUCUAAUAAUAAUCUAAUUAAUAAUUCUUUAAUUUUCAUUGAAGGUCACCCUCGAAUCAUUCAUCGCGACAUCAAAACCGCCAAUAUUCUUCUUGAUAAUAAAUUCGAGGCUAUGGUACAAAAAAAUUUUAUUGAUCAAUUUAUGCAUAAAAAAAUAAAUACAAUGAAUUAAAAUUAAAUUUAUGUAGUUUUUUUUAAUUUAUAUAUAUGUAUUUGAAAUUGCUAUUUCAGGUUGCUGAUUUUGGAUUGGCCAAGUUAUCUUCUGACACCAACACCCACGUUUCGACACGUGUGAUGGGAACAUUCGGGUAAUUUUAUAUUAGUUUUUUUAAAAAAAUAUAAAAUUUAUCUGAACUGUAGCGCAUUUUUCAUAAAAUUUUAUACCGUAAUUUUAACUUUUUUAUAGAAAUAUUUUGGCAUCUCCCAAAGAUAAUGAAUGGUAAAAACAUUGCAAACUUAUUUGAACCAUAUAUUAUUUGAAUUGACUAUUUAACUUUUUUUUAUUUUUGAUUUUACCAUGUAGCCCUUCAAUUUAUUUGAUUUAAAUUACUCAUCAGUACUUCUUUAACUUUAAAAUUUAAGUUAAUUUUUUAUUUUUAAUAAAAUUAUUCUAAUUAUACCUGUAAAGAUAAAUAUCGUAUUUCAGUUUUAAAGUCAAAGCACUAUUGACUAAUUCAAAUCAAAUAAAUUGAAAGAUUAUAUAGUAAAUUAAAAUUUUGAAAAAUUGAAUAGUCAAUUCAAAAUGAUCCAUAGUUCGGAUAAGUUUUAUAUACGUUUGUACUUAUAAUGGGAUAAAGUUUAAUUCUUUUAGGUUUAGAUAUGAAUUUUUAAAAUCUGUCGGAUCCGGGUUAGGGUUCGGGUUUUGGGUUUGGAGUCGGUUUGGAUUCGGGUUUUUGAAAAUUCGCCCCGAAUCCGACCCAUUGACAUCCCUACUCUUGAUCUAGUGUAAUUAUAUGUACAUAUAUACUUAUUCUGAUCAUAUAUAGAUUCUGAUCAUAUAUAGAUACUUGGCUCCUGAGUACGCGUCGAGCGGCAAGUUAACAGAGAAAUCCGAUGUCUUCUCGUUCGGAGUGAUGCUCCUCGAGCUCAUAACCGGGCGGCGGCCCGUCGACAACACUCAAACCUUCAUGGAGGAUAGCUUGGUUGAUUGGGUGAGUACCGCGACUGUUCUUGCUUAUUUCGAUAUCUCGGAUUCAAAAGUGUUGCGAAAAAAAGCUCAUUGGUUUGCAAUUCAAUCGAGUUCGGCUCAGUUUUACUUCUGUUCGAGUUCUCGAGCUGGGUUCAGCUCGCUCGAGCUCAGCUUUAACCAUUUUUUGAUAUUAAUCAAUUACUUUACUUGGCUCAAAAGUGUGGUGAGCCCAGAUCGAGCUUAUUUACGAAACUCGAACUCGAGUCAAGCUCGAUCUAAGCGUAAUUUAAGUAGCUCGAGCUCACGAAUUUUGUUCAUCUUACAAUUGAACUCGAUGGAUCUAGGCGAGGCCUCUUAUGAUCCGCGCGCUGACUGAGAACAACUUUGAAGAGCUGGUCGACCCGCGACUGGAGAAGAACUACGACCCGACGGAGAUGCAACACAUGAUCGCGAGUGCCGCUGCUUGCGUUCGCCAUUCCGCUCGACGGCGCCCUAAAAUGAGCCAGGUACAUGGAUGAAACAUUCUCCAAAGCUUAUUCUAACAUCUUAUUAUUAAAUUGGAUUAAUUUCAUACAUGUCCCUAUAAAUAUAAUGAAUUGCAAACAUAUUUUUAUAAAUUUUAACUUUCUUAUGUUGUUCCUACAAAAGUCCUAAUAUUUUUAAAUAUGUCCAUGCCGUUAGAAUCCGUUAGAAAACUUAGUUAAUCAUAGGUUACAUGCUUAACCCUGAUUAGUUUAUGAGAUAAUUUGAUAAUUUGAUAAUUUUGGAGGGACAUAUUUGAAAAGAGAUAUAAAAACAUCAGAACUUUUGUAUGGACCACAUGUGAAAGUUGAAUUUUGUAGGGAUAUAUUUGUAAUUCACUAUAUUUGUAGGGACCUAUACGCAUUUAACCCUAUUAUAUUUAUGUCCUACUCUAAUUGUUUCAAAGCUAAAAAAAAAGAGUAGUUUUUGAUAAUUUUGAGGGGUAUAUUACAAGCCAAAUUUUAAAAAGAGGGGUUAUCAAUCUUUUGUGCAAAUUUCAAUUUGACACUUAAUUAACCUAUGAAUUUUUAUAACUGAGCAUCUAUAUGUGAUUUGGAUGUUGUUGUAAUCUUAGGCCCCGUUUGGUUGGGGGGAUAAGCGGGGAUAACAAACGUUAUCCUCGUUAUUCCGCCAAACGGGGUGAAAUUUGGCCGGGAUAUUUUAUCCCGGUCAAACCUUGCUAUUCCCGGUUAUCCCGGAAUAGCAAGGGAUUUGCUAUUCCACCAUUUUGGUAGAAUAGCACUAUUCCAAUGCUUAAUUUCAAACUUAAUUAAAAUUAUAAAUUGAAUUAAAACUAAAUUAUAUAAAUAUAAUAUGUUAUAUAUUAUAAUACAUUAUUUUUAUUAUAAAAUUAUUAAUUGUACUAUAUUAAUACAUAUUAUUUAUAUUUAAAUAUUAUAAUAAAAUUUAUAAUAAAUUAUAUUUAAAUAUUAUAAUAAAUUCUUUUUAUUAAAUUUAAGUUUAAGUAGAAUUUUUAAAAAAUUUAUAAAUUUAUUAUAAUAAAUAGUUUUUAUUAAUUGUUCCCACCCCUAUUCUUAUUUUAAAAUUUUAAAAAUUAAAAAUUUAAAUUUUUAAAAUUUAUAUAUUAUAAUACAUUAUUUUUAUUAUAAAAUUAUUAAUUGUACUAUAUUAAUAAUUAUUAUUUAUAUUUAAAUAUUAUAAUAAAAUUUAUAGUAAAUUAUAUUUAAAUAUUAUAAUAAAUUCUUUUUAUUAAAUUUAAGUUUAAGUAGAAUUUUAAAAAAAUUUAUAAAUUUAUUAUAAUAAAUUAUUUUUAUUAAUUGUUCCCACCCCUAUUCUUAUUUUAAAAUUUUAAAAAUUAAAAAUUUAAAUUUUUAAAAUUUAUAAUUUAUAAUCUCAAAAUUAAAGUUUAUAAUUUUAAAUUUUAAAUUUUAUAUUUAAGUUUUGAUAUUUUAAUUUGAAAUUUAAAAUUUGAUAUUUUAUAUUUUUCAAAUUUAAAUUUGAUCUUAAAUUUAAAGUUUGAAAUUUAAAAUUUAAAAUUUUGAAUUUAAAAUUUGAGAUUUUAAAUUUCAAAAUUUAAAAUUUCAAAGUUAAAAUUUUAAAUUUAAAAAUAUAUAUUUAAAAAUUUAAAAAUUUAAAUUUAAAUAUAAUAAGAGGAUAAUAUGAUUAUUUUUUAUUUAUAAAAUCUACUAUCUUUUUUAUUAAAUUCCUCCAUUGAAAUCAAAACAGAUGUCUACAUAAAUUGACACAUAUAUGAGCAUUUUGAUCCUAUUAAAGCUUUGGGGGUUUUAUUUAUAUACCCCAUACUACUAUUAAAAGUUUUCAAAUUACUCUUUAUUGCCCAACAUAUUCUUCUAAAAUUCAAUCCUAUUAGUAAACCCUAGGAAAAAAAAAAUAUUUAAGAGAAUUUUUUAAAAUCAGUAAAGAUAUUAUGGUCAUUCAGAAAUAAAUAAGAUACAUUUUUUAAGUUUUGAAAAAUAUAUUACAUAUUAUCACUAAAAUUUUUGUAGAAACGUUUUUUGAGUAGAGUUAAAGGAGAAGUAUUAGCAACUUUUUUAUUAGCUUCAAAAUAAUUUCUCUCCAAUGUUCCUAUUUUCAACUUUUUGUGAUUGUACAUUUUUUAUUAUCCAAAUUCUACAAUAGGAAAUAGUGCUGUUAAAAAAGUACUACAUAAAAUAGUGGGGUACUAAAAAAAGCUGUAGAGUAUUUGACUAAUUUUAUUAUAAAAUUCUAUGUAGAAGUUGUUUGGUAAAAACUCAACUAAAUUAUUGUAAAAUAAUAUAAAGAGUUUUAGAAAAAUAUGAAUUUAAUUAAACCGCCCCGUUAUUUUUUACCUUCUUAAUUUUUUGUCUCAAAAUUUAAAAGAAUUGGUCUAAAUUAACAAUUUUAUUACAAUUUUAAAAAAUUCUAUAAAAGUUAUUAUUCUUAAUCACUCGUUAGCAAAUAAACUUGUGAUAAUUAAUGGCCAACAUUUAAUAAAAUUAUUAUAUUCAAUAAUAAUUUCUCUUUAAUUAACUAUAUAAUUCAAAUAAAAAAAUAAAGAUUCAAGAGAUGUCAAUUAAAAAACUAAAGAUAAGAACUAAAUUUAAUAAAAGUACAUAUAUAUAUAUAUAUAUAUAUAUAUAUAUAUAUAUAUAGAGAGAGAGAGAGAGAGAGAGAGAGAGAGAGAGAGAGAGAACACAAUAUGCAUAUAGAAUAGGGAUGUCAAUGGGUUGGAAUUCGAAAUUUAUUCGAAUCUGAACCCGAAUGAAACGGAUAUAUUCGAUGCUAAAUGAAUAUGGAUUCGGAUAUGGAUAUAAAAAUAAAACCCGACGGAUAUGGAUUCGGAUAUGGGUUUGACUGUACCCGAUCCCAACCCGAACGGACCCGAACCGAAUUUAUUUGUAUUAUAUAAAAUAUAUAUAUAAAAUUUGAUGUUUUGUUUGAACUUGUAUUUUAAAAUUUAGAUUUAAUAUAUAUAUUUUGAAAUAUUGAAAAAAUAAAUAAUUGUUUCGGGUUUCAAAUUUUCGGUUUGGUUCGGGUUUCGGAUUUUGGCCAGGUUCUGAUUUGGAUACGAAUUUUUAAAACCGUCGGCUGGCUCGAUUCGGGUUGCGGUCUCGGGUUUGGAGUCGGGUUCGGUCGGGUUCGGAUUUUUAAAAAUCCGCCCCGAAUCCGACCCAUUGACAUCUCCUAAUAUAGAACGCUAGGGACUGUUGGCUUGCACGUAGUUGCACUGUAUUACAGUUGUAACUGUAUAUAAUACAAAUUCAUUAUUGAUUUGAUGUAUUUAACUUCAACUCCAGCAUUAGAACUGUAGGAGGAGGUCCAAUUGCAGCAGUUGAAACUACGCCCAAAUUGCCGCAGUUCCAACUGUAGCAGUUGGAAAGAGUAACUUUAAAUAAAAGAUAUGUUUACCUUCUUAAUAUUUUUUUAAACAACUUUUUUUUUUUUUUUUUUUACAUUGGAGAAUCACACCAUCACAUACAUAAAAUGAUAAAAUUUUAAAAGUUAUUUCUCAACUACAUUUAACAAAUAAAUUAUUUAUAGUUCCAGCACUUUCUACUAUAUACCAACCAAACAAGAUGCAUAUAGUUCAACUGCUAUAUUUCAACUGCAUAUAUUUUGAAUUAUACUGUGUUGGUGUAAAUAUUCAAAAAAUAAGAUGUUAGUUUACAAAAUAAUUUAAAAAAUAUCAACGAGUCGAUCAAGCCGAGGCACGGAUAUCUCGCUCUCUUUAAGGAGAUUCAAGCCCUCUGCGGUUGGCAAAGCCUUUGAACCGAUACAGCAGAGCACCGACUUGUCCCCUCCAGAAUACAACGGCUCGACCCUCAUCGUGUGGCUUCACCAACUCUGCACAAGUAGAUGAGCCCAAAGCUCUACCAAAAGAAACACCUUUUUUUGACCUUCUCUCUCUCAAGUAGAAUAUAGAUAUUGUAGUUUUUUUUUUUAUGUUAUGUGGAAGUGAAUAGAGAAGCCUCUAUAUAUAGGUUUCAAAAGUAUAGGUUACAAAAGUAUCAAACCCAUAGGUUACAUAGUUAGUGCUAUAGGAGUUUACAUACGUAAAUGAACUUAAUUAUGUUCACCUUAUUGAAGUAGGUUCACAUAUAAGUUCACAAUGAAUGCAAACUAAAUGAAGUGGUAAAUUCACAUGCAUAACUAUAAAUGCAAGUAUAGGUUAUGCAAAGGUUAAUAAAAUUUAUAUUAAUAAUAAAAUGUAACAACAUACUGUAUUUAUAAUUAUAUCAAACUAAACCGCCCUUAAGUUGCAGUUUGUUAUAGCCAUAUUUUGAGUUACCAAACAGUCCAAAAAAGCACGUUCACCUAAAACCGGAACCAAACGGAUACUGUAACAUUUGCCGCAUGAGCUAGACCAAAUAUGACAAAGCACAAAGAUUAGAAAGUUAAAUCUAGAAAUAUGGCAUUAAAACCUAGUAACUAUGGUGCAUUUUUUUUGAGAUAGUAUCUAAUUAUAUAUCUUUCUAAACUUCAAAAAUAAUUUAUUUAUUCUCGAAAGACAAAAAUAACCUUAUUGAUUUUCAAAAAAUUCUAUUUUUCAUAGGAUUUACUAAUGGGAUUGGUUUUACAAAGAUAUUUUGAUAAUUUCAAAAUAAAUUUGAAAAUUUUGAAUAGUAAUAAUGGGUAGAUAAGCAAACCUUUUUUUUUUUUUUUCGAACAAUUAUCUUUUAACAGGUCGUUCGCUCACUGGAGGGCGACAUUUCGUUGGAGGACUUGAACGAGGGGGUGAAGCCAGGCCAGAGCUCGUUCUUCGGCUCGAGCUCGGACUUCGACUCGAGCUCGUACAGCUCCAACAUGCGCCAGUUCCGCCGCAUCGCCCUCGGCAGCGGUGAGUUCAGUAACGAGUACAGCGGCCCCACCAGCGAGUACGGCCUCAAUCCAUCGGAAUCCAGCUCCUCUUCUGGUGAGAUCAACACCAAAUCCACCGCCACCGGAGUUAGCCGACGGCAUUAGAAAGUAACCAAUGUUUUGAAAUCCAAAUUGGAAACUUUGAAUCGUGAAAUCUGAUCAGGUUCAUUUUCGGUUCGGUUUCAAAUUUUAACACUGUCGUGAAAGACUUAUCUACCGCUCUUUGAAGAAAACAAAGGCCUACAGCUCUAUAUACAGCUCAGUUGGUGUACUAUUAAUAGUAUAUGAGUAGUAUAUUUUUACAGAGUUUUUAACCUAUUUGACUCGUGCUCUUCUGGCGAGAUCAACACCGAAUCCACCGCCGCCACCGGAGGAAGCGGGCGACAUUAGAAAGUACCCAAUGUUUUGAAAGCCAAAUUGGAAAACUUUGAAUCAUGAUUUUCAAGUUCAUUUUUGGUUCGAUUUCAAAUUUUAACACUGUCGCGAAGGACUUAUCUACCACUUUCUGAAGAAAACAAAGGCCUACAACUCAGCUGGUGCAUUAUUAAUAGUAUGUGAAUAGUGCACACUAUAGACUUUUAACUUAUUUGACUCUAUCGACGUCCCUAAAGCAAGUGGCAAAAGGACUUGGUGGUUGGUAUCCGAGACUUAAGUUCGAAUCCUAACUGAUUCACAUUUCUAGUUAAGUUUAUUUCUAAAUAAAAUAAACGAAGCGGGUAGCGUGCUACCUAUCUCUUAAAAAAAAAAAAAACUUAUUUGACUCCAGCUCCUCCUCUAGCGAGAUGAACACUAAAACCACCGCCGCCGCCGGAGGAAGCUGACGACAUUAGAAAGUAACCAAUGUUUUGAAAGCCAAAUUGGAAAACUUUUAAUCAUGAUAUUUUGAGUUUAUUUUCAAUUUCAUUUCAAAUUUUAACACGGUCGUGAAGGACUAAUCUACCACUAUUUGAAAAAAACAAAGCCCUAUAACUCUAUAUUGAAUUCACUUGUUGGAGUAUUAUUAGACUAAAAUACGAAAAAAAAUUGUUAGUAUCUUUUUUUUUUUUUUUUUUUUUUUUUUCUUUCUGUCUUUUAAAAAGCUAUAUUUUAUCACAUCAAAAUUUUAAAUUGAUACACUUAGCCCCCCUCUUAGGAUUUUAUCAUGGUUUUGUUUAUUUCAUAUAAUUUAUACCAAAAUGUCUCUUAUAAUAACACGAAUACAUUUAUUUCUUUUUUCUAAAAUAAGUAUAAGUGCAAUUACACCAUUUCACCUCUUCAUUAACGUUAUAAGCCUUAAAAAUUUUGCAAAUUUGAAGGGAUAAAAUAUACAUUACAACAGAAUUAGGUUAUAGCGACACAUGUUUGGGACACUUUUGUCUAAGUGUUCCAUUUAUGUCAAAAUUUUAAAAAAACAUCUACUAAUUCCUAAAUAUAAAGCCGAAUUCAAUAAAAAAUAAAAGUUUACUAUACUCAACCCAUCCAACCUAGCCCAUUUGGCCCGAUUCCAAACAGAAAGGAAAAAAAAAAAAAAAAAAAAUCGAUUAACAUUUUCGCUUCUCCCCUCACUGAAUCUACUGAAAUCCUAGACAAAGGGCCCUUCCCUCUCGUCCUCCUCCGCCACCGCAGCCAAUGAGGUAGAGUUUCGGCGGUUGCUAGAUACUUAAAUAAGUGUUGUUAAAUUAGCAUUACUUUUUUAGGUUAUAGCGACACUCUUUAACCGUCGCUAUAUACCUAGCGAUCCCACAUAUAGCAACACUCUUUAAAAGUGUCGGUAAUUUAGCUAGUAGCACUGUUUUUGACCUAUACCGAUAUUUAAAAGUGUCGCUAUAAACCGUUUUUGUUGUAGUGAAUUAAGGUUUUCAAAAGUUAGUGUAAAAAGUGAAAAAUUAGAUAUUCGUAGAAGGAUUUUCUAUAAUUUUAGUGGUGUUGCUAAUAGUAUAUAAAUAGUAUAUAGUAUUGACAUUUUAGCCAUUAGAUGCUAGAAUUUAUCCUUUAGUACCCUUCAGUAGUAAGUAUCCAACGGUUAAAAAAUUCGAUAGCAUACACUAACGUAACACCUGAAUAGUCCCAUAUCAGAUGGGAACGAAAUUGUAAUUGGAUAUGAACACUAAUAAUCAUAAUCGAGCUUAAACAUUUUGCAUUGCUGGUUUUUACCCAAUGGGUUAUUAUUGUUAGCAUGCCGAAUCGUUAUAUUUGGUAUUAGAGGCGGUUCACCAGUCGACAGUGUGAAAUGAGUUUCAGCUGAGUUAGGGUUAGAAUGACAAGUUAAACCAAAGUCUGAAAAUGAUAGACUAAGUCAGGAUCAUAAUAACAAGACUAGUGAGAUAAGUCUCACAUCGCCUUACUGUGUGUGAUUGGGCUGAUGAGGAUAUCAGGGUCAAAAUGGAGGAGUCUGUAAUAUCUUGAUAAUCCCAUAUUAGAUAGGAACGGAGUUAUAAUUGAUAUAAGUGACCAUGGGCAAUAGUAAUCAUAAACAAGCUUAAACAUUUUGGGCUGGAGAAUUUGGAACCAACUUCUUAAAUCUAGUGGGUCGGAUCGUUACAACUAUUCACCUACUACUAAUAGUAUCCUAGCUGCACUAUAUAAUAUAUAAGAUAAUUAACUAACACUUAAUAUAAAAAUUAUGUAACUCUGAAAAUUUUUUAUUUAUUAUCUGCGGGGUAAGACAAAAGCUGGAAGGUGGUGUUUGUAGUAUAUAUUGUCUAUUUUAUUUUAAGAAUUUUAUUUUAUUUCUUGUAUAUAAUAAGAUCUAGAGUAGUAGUAUUGAUUUUUUUUUUUUCUUUUAUAGGGAAUUUAAACUCUAAUUUUCUAAUUCUGGUCAGUUUGUGACGUAUUAUUAAGAAAAAAGUAAACAAACGAAAAUGGUCUAUUGUUGUUUUAAUUUUUUUGGAAAAAUUGCAUGUUUGGUCUUCAAACUAUGAAUAUGGUGAUACUUUGGUCCUCAAACUUUCAUUUAUUAUAAUUUCUAAUCCGAACUUUUAGAAUAGUUGCAAUCAAAUCCCACAACUAAUUUAGUUAGCUAAAUAUUGAUAAGUUAUUAGUGUAAAAGUAAUGUUAAAGUAUUGUGAUUGAUCAUGCAAAAUAAAUUAUAAUACAUUGCAUUAUCAAGAGAAUCUUCUUCAAUAAGUGAGAGUCUCAUAUGAGAAAAAAUUAGUAAAGUGCAUGCUUUCGCACCAUCCAUAUUUCAUAUAUGCUCUUGCAAGAAGAUCAAGUGAGUAUCUGGAUUAAGAUUAAAAAAAUGCCAUUUAAAUCUUGGUGUACCUCGAUGUUAAGAAAGUAAUGGAGAGGAUCAAGAUCUUUCAUUGCAAACUGGAUGCCAAGUUCAUGAAUAACAUUAUGAAUAAGAUUAUUACUAUCAGUAAUAAUAAUAUUACCUAUAUAUAUAAGAAGAAUGGAAUUCCAUUAUGAGAAGUGUGAAUAAGAAGAGCCAUGAUAUCCCAACACUAGUAGAUAUCCUGUGAAGCCCCAAACUAAGCAUGAGGUACUUAUUUUAACCUAUAAAUCCAUUUAUAGAGUUUACAAAUAUGAGUUAGAGUAAGAGGAUCAAUAAAAUCUAGAGGUUGUUGCAUAUAUACUUUUCCCCGUAAAAUGCCAUGCAACGAGGCAUUGUGGACAUCUAGUUAAUGAAUAGGCCAUCCAAAAUGAACAGCAAUAGCCAACACAAUUCAAAUCAUGGAAGGCUUUGGCAACAAAAUUAGAGGUUUCACUGUAAUCAAGUGCAGGUUGUUGAUGAUAACCUUUGGCUACCAAACGAGCGUUAUAUCUUUCAAGAUUAUGUCAUUCGAGAACCCAACGAUAACCAACAACAUUCAUACUAGGAAUAAAGAGGAUAGAAGACCAUAUCCAGCAUUUUUAUAGUGCAUUAACUUUGGCAAGCAUUGUAUUUCUUCACUUAAUACAUUUUUAGGCUUGACUAUAACAAGUUGGCUCGAUGUCUACAAAUAUUGUAUCAAAUUGAAAUGUAAUAUCUAUUUUUCUAAGUACGAGAGUAGAAUUUGAUCACAUCAAAAAUUAAUUUACCUGUGAGACCCCAGAUAGUUUUAUAUAUGAGAUAUAAUAGGGCUAAAACUCCUAACCCGGCUUAAGUAUUUUGGGUGGUGGCAAGGCCCAAUAGGUUAAGAGAGUUAAGCGUGCUAGGACGGAGUAGUCCUAGGAUGGGUGACCCUCUGGGAAGUUGGAGCGUCACAUUACCUCUAAAGAACUAGAAAGGUCUAAUUAAUUAAAGCUUUAAAUUAAUACUAUACAUAAUAUAUUAUUAUAUAUCGUUAAUUCCUUAGUCCUUACAAAGGUAAAUGUCUGUAACUAAAUAUUUUGUUAGUUGGUAAUGAUAACAAAUGAACCGAGCUUUUGGGUCGGGUUCGUGCGGGGCUUGGAUGUGUCCAAAUAGGCCCAAAACUUUUCAGGUCUAAAUUUUUAAACUCGACCCAAAUCCAAAUUAUCAUUUAUUUACAUACUCAUAGUCUAGCUUAUACAUGAAUUGGCCAUUGUUUAGGCCCAGGCUCAGUUCCACUCCUACUUUCAUUACAUUUGUAAAAUAGGUUGAAAUAUAAGCAAAGUUAAAAAAAAAAAAAUUCCUCUGAGAGAAAAAGAUGCCCUCUAUGAAAGGAAUAGUUUUUGAAGAAAUAAUUAUAUUUAAUUGCAUAGAGUUGCGAAUUUAUUCCAAAGUAAUUAUGUUAUCACAUAUAUUUUUGUAAAGUUUCAUCAAAUAUAUGCCUCUCUGGUAACAAACGACUAUAGUUGAGUUUUUUCUUUCUAAAGUGACCAUCUAACCUUCAAUGAAUAUCUUUUAAAGCACAUGCAAAUGCAAAUUUAUUUUUCAUCUUUGAUAUUUUUGAACUAAUAUUCUUAUAAUAUUUUGUAUCAUUCUACGUGAAGGGCUUGUUUAUUUGCCUAUAAUAAAUUUUUUAGUAAAAAAUGACUGCCAGUUGACCGCAGGCAUGUUCAGAUAAUUUUUUUUUUUCCAUCGCUAUUUUUGAUAAGAAGUUAAUAAUUUUGGAACUCUAGUUCCUUUUAUUAAAUUUUAUUUUAUAAAAGCUUUUCACACUAUUACAUAAGAGGAUGAAGAAUAAAUACACUAGUUAAUUUAUUUUUUAUUUUAUUCUAUCUCUUACUCUCAUGUAAUUGACUUACCAACAACCUAGAGCGAAGUUAAUUGCAGCAAAUAAAUUUACCUUACGACGAAUCAGGCAACUCAAGAAAGCUUUUAUAGUUGAAAAUAACUUUACUACUCUCUACUUUCGGUAAAACAAGCAUGCUCGAACCAUAAAUUAUUAAUUUUACAAAUUUUUUUAAAACUAACUAUAGUUUAGAAGAAAAAAAUGGUUACAACAAUACAAAAUUAACAGCCAACUAACGACAGCCAAUAUGCAAAGAUAAAUUUAUAUAUUUUAAAGCUUUAAAAAGAAUAUUCGAUAAUUCAAACUUCAUAAAAAUAUAUAUAUGCAGCUUUUUUGCAACAUUAAUAUGAAAUCGGCUCCGGGGGAGUGUUUGGUUCCUUAAAAGAUCAUGAAAACUAUUUUCAAAAAAAGAUCUUAAAAAAUGUCCGUUCCAUCAUUUUAAUUAUUCAGUUUAAUAAUUUUUUUAAAAAAAUAAAUCUUUUUAUUAAGAGCCAUAUUGUCACGCCCCAGAUUACACUUUCCCCGGGCGCGCCGACAAAUCCGCUGUGUACAAAAAAAUUUCCCCUGUAUACGAAGCGAUAGCUGUACCUGUAAAACAAACACUACUACGAACAGUAGUAGAGAGCUGCUAGAGAAAGCAGAAGCUAAACAAACUGAGUUUCAUGUACAUAGUCCAAAUCCAAAAUACAAAGCUACUCGCACUGGCGAGUUAAAUCUACUAUGUACAUAAACUCGAAACAAAACAUCUACCUGCAGUAGGGGCACCUCUAGCUCAGCACGUCAGGUAGGGCUCUAACUCGCGACGCCCUUGCCUCGAUCCUGAUCCGCGGACGGUGCAGCAGCAGGAACCUGUGGCUCUGCAAAAACAUAGGUAACAACUGGGCGUGAGAACUACUGUAAAAACAAGUAGUCCUCAGUGGGUACCGCCCAAAACAAUAUCGGUCUACCCACUAAGUCUACAGAAGGGAGCAGGAAUAGUAGUACAAUGCAGGAAUAAAGUCUACCGCUAUCAAACACUACACUAUCAUGCUCUACACUAACCAACUGUAGAAAAUAUCCAACCUGACCCAAUCCAAUCGGGAUUGUAAGCAUACCCGUCCCCGGGACUGUGAAUACACCCGUCCCUGCCCCGUUGCGACUAUCGGGCUCUAUCCACACUAACUGGUCUGUGGAGAGCAAGUCCAACUGGCAUGAGCGACACCAACGCGAAAGCACAAAGCCUGACUCCGGAGUGGCACUCGUGGGCGCUACCCAACCGAGUAUGCAGCGUAUCUCUGUCGAGCUCAAUCAGGCUUCAACUAGCCAAAGUCAAGUAAACAGGGUCAAAACAGGUCUACAAACCAAACCCACGUGCCCUCGGCACAAUCUGUGACCAAAACAAGAAUCUGGGUCCACCGCUAACCCGAACGGCACCCAACUACCCGAAACAGCCUACACUUUGCUGAAAAAUAAGCUCGGCAUCUCAGCACGAGCGUAAAUGCCUUCUAAACUACCCCAGAUAUCCAUCGCAACGAUACUGCAACGAUACAAUCGAAUCACGGCUCCUAGAGCUAAAUCUGGUAGUUUAAGCAUAUGACGGGUCAAAACGCAGGUUUUCUCCUAAGUCAAAUUUCAAGUCCAACGUGUAUAAUAUAAAUAUUCAUUUCAGCAUGCUUUUAUAUUCAUAUUACGUCCAAAAUGCUAAUCGAUGAAUUAAAGCAUGAUAUACAACAAUCGAACUAUACACGUCGACUAAACAUGCACUUAGGAGUGAAACCGAUGAUACACCCACCUCGAGAGCAAAUUCCUGGCAGCACGAAACUCCCUUGGCUGCGACACAACCUGCUGGAUCGACUGAAAAUGUCCGAGUCUCAAAAUCAAGCUAUCUCCAAGCUAUUAAUAUCAAAAUCCAC
This 58598-nucleotide long non-coding RNA is filed under the name Ananas comosus (pineapple). Its description in RNAcentral is "long non-coding RNA (ACOM_LNC001226)". Lineage: Eukaryota; Viridiplantae; Streptophyta; Magnoliopsida; Poales; Bromeliaceae. The record is from RNAcentral.